CACCGCCACCUCCUCCCAGGCCCUCGUCAUGGGAGUGGCGCCCUCCAAGGGCAACGGGCCCUCGUUCGAGGCCGCCGCCGCCGAGAACGGCGGGUGCAAGUGCGGCCCCAACUGCACCUGCAACCCGUGCACCUGCAAGUGAUCAGUCGAAUCAACACAUGGAGACGGCAUGGAUGGAUGGACGGACCUGACGAAGGAGCACUACAGUACGAGUAGUAGUAGCCAUCCAUGAAUCGCGAGUGUGUGUUUCGUUUUUAAUUGCCACCUACUAGAAUAAGACGGGAUCUAUCGUAUCGUAAUCGUAUCGAGCUAGUCAACGGAUUAUGUGUACGUACCCCUUGUGGCUUGUACGGUGUUUUGUGUUGUGUUGUCAUGUGCUUCUCCUACCGCUUUAGUUCCGUCCUCGUGUGCCUUCCCCGUCUUAUCUACAUAUAUAUACUCCUGUGUAUGUAGACAAUAAUAAUUUGGAGUUUCUGUCUUUUUCUUUUUUAUCUCGUAAUAUGUGUCUUGUUUCUAUCAUAAAGAUCAAAGUAUAAAUCACAUAAGAAAACAUAUCUGCGUUUGACACCAAACGUCCAUCACCAAUGACACCAUCAUAGCAGUUAUCAAAGGAAAAAAUAACGAAUCACUUGACGCGGCUUCAUUAUUAAUAUAUAGCUUUGUGAACUUUAAGACCUUUAAGGUGGCUCACAGAAACUGCAGAUCUAGUACAACGUCAAAGGAAAAACACCGUACCUGCCAUCCACAAACCCCACAACACGGCCCGUCGUUCGAGGCCGCCGCCGAGAACGAAGGGUGCAAGUGCGGCCCCAACUGCACCUGCAAGUGAUCAAUCAAAUCAAGACAAUGAUAUGGCAUGGAAAAACAAAAAAUUGACAAAAUUAACCUAUAGAGCAAAAGAACUCACAAAGGGAAUGCAAAUGGAAAAAAAAUCACCCCGGCUCACCCUUUCGUGUGGCGUCCGGUGUCACACUAUAUGUAUGACGCCUAAGACGUCGGCGCCACAUGCCUGGCCACGCUGGCGCAACUGUCCCCACCCCCAGGCAGUGCGACGCCUAAGCCUCAUGCUACAGUAUGGCGCCGAGCGCUUAGACGCCAUACUGUGACUUAUCCAGCCACGGGCCAGCCCCCUCUCCAUCCCCUCCUCAUUCCUCUCCCUUCACUUCACCUCAUAGCUUGUGUUCAAGUCUUCCCUUUCUCAAAUCCCUCUCCAAAUCAGCAGAUCUGAAGGUUUGGACCGGACAUUUGUUGUCCAAUCCCUCCCUAAGGUGAUCCCCCGAUCCCCUCCUCAUCCAAGCAAAAAUCUCUUUUGGUCACUUUGUUGCAAAUUUAAGAAAACCCUAGUUUUUUCAUGAAAUAUGGGAUGUAUAUGAUAUUGUUGUAUUUGUUUGUAUUUUAGGAUAAGGGGUAUGAUGGGUUAGGAUUAGGGUUGUUUGGAUGUUUGCAUUAUGGUUGUGUUAGGGUUAGGCUAGGGUUAGGAUUAAGAUUGUUUGGAUGUUUGCAUUAUGGUUGUGUUAGGGUUAGGCUAGGGUUAGGGUUAUGGAUGUUUGGAAGUUAUGAAUAAGGUUUAUUUUUAUUAAGUAGAUAUUGUAGUAUUUGGAUGAUUGCUUAUAGAAAAUAUUGUAUGUUGUGUUGUUUAGGGAUGGGAAGAACAUGUGUUUAUGUUCAUCACGUGGACAAAGAUGCCUUUUUAAAAGGCAAUAUGAUCCGGACCCGGAUGAGCUUGACAUGGUGUUCGAUUUCUGUCCUAGCUGUGCUGAAUGUUGGAACAAGUCCGAAAGGAUUUGAAUUGGGUGGACCCUAGUGAUGUAGUUGAGUUUGAUGGUAGGCAUAAUGCGGGAUUUGGAAUGCACAUUCGUUGGAAGACCAUGCGUGUCAACUCCGAGCAACGUUGGCUUGCAUACAAGGAUACGGUGGCCGAAUCACUAGACAAGGCUCUAGAGUUAUUUGCCAUCAAAACAAAUGUUCCUAACUUGCAGUUGGAUUUGAACCGGGUUGCCUCUUCGAUUGGUGAAGCUAGUCCUCCACGCAUCAACGAAGAGGCCAACAUUGAACCUCUUUCAGCACAACAAUCUUGUAUCCAACAUGAACCAUUGCUAGAGGAUAAUGAUGAGCACGAUGAUGAUGAGAAUGAUGGUACUGCUCUUCAUGACAACAACCUUGGUGAUUUGGACAAAUAUAAUUUGCAAGAGACAAUGGACCAUUCUAUUCCGUACUCACGUGGCUAUGCAUCCGAGUCGGACGAUGAGGGUCCCGACGAAGAAGUUGAUGAGGAAGGGUUCACGACAAAGGAGGUUGAAGCUUUCACGAAGGUAUUAGGGCGGGAUCACCAGACACCAUUGUUCGAGGAUCUUAGCCUUGCGGAUGAAGCCGUGGUUGACGGAGGCGAAGGCAUAUUGUUUGGAGUUAGGCCACCUUCUCACCGGGACAAACAUGGGAAGAAUAUUAUUUUGCCGGGAUCAAAGUUCCAAACAUUCCUUGAACUGAAGAUGUGGUUGGAUGAAUAUUCUGUUACACAUUAUAGGCCACACAAAGUUGUUCAUUCAAACAUGAAGCUGCGUUACACGGUUGCAUGUGAGGAUUCAGGGUGUCCUUGGAUUGUCCGUGCAAGACCAUGGAAAGGAGGGCCAGGAUGGAAAAUUAUCAGUUGUAUGCCUCACACGUGUCGAGGCAAGAGGUUUGAUGGCAAGCUUUCGUUGCAAAACCAUAGACAACUCACUUCCGAGUUCAUUGCUUAUAAGCUUUCCAACUCCAUCUCCUCUCUUCCUACAAUGAGCAUAAAAAGCGUACAAGACCUUGUGAAGGCCCUCUUUCACUACAAGGUGAAAUACGGGAAGGCAUGGAAAGCGAAGCAAGCCGCAUUCAAGAUGUUGUAUGGUGAUUGGGAGCAAGCAUACAACCGACUACCUAGGUUGUUGGGAGCUAUUGCCGCCACUAACCCAGGCAUGGUUCAUGUGGUCGAGCCGUAUGGGGAGAAAACAAGGAUUCACAAUGGAAAGAGGGUCCGCGUAUUUGUCCGUGCAUUUUGGGCAUUUGAGCAAUGUGUGAGGGCUUUUCAACACCGUCGGCCGGUCAUCUCCAUCGAUGGCACGUUUUUGACCCGACAAUUCAAGGGCACUUUGUUGGUUGCAAUAGCAAGUGAUGCCAAUAACCGGUUGAUGCCUUUGGCUUUUGCUUUGGUUGAGGCAGAGAACAAUGUUAACUGGGAAUGAUUCUUGCAUAUUUUGAGAACCAAAGUAUAACCGUUUGAAAGGGAAAUCUGUGUCAUAUCGGAUCGCCAUCAAGGAAUACUUAACGCGGUUGACAUUGUCAUUUCCGGCCAUGCUCCUUUGCAUCAUCGAUGGUGCAUGACGCAUUUCUGUGCAAACUUCUACCGGGUAUGUGGUAGCAAGGAGUUGGCGGAUGAUCUUCAAGAUUGUUGUCAAGCAUUUUCAGACAAACGAUUUGCAAGAUUGUACAAUGCUUUGGUUGCAAACAAAAAACUUGAUGCAGGUGGGCUUGAGUUUCUCAACAGGCACAUUCAACUUCGGCCCAAGUGGGCACGAGCUUAUGACGAAGAUGGUCGAAGAUAUGGUCAAAUGACAAGUAACAUGGCAGAAUGCUUCAACCGGGUGCUGAAGGGUGUCUGUGAGUUGCCGGUGACGGCAAUAGUUCAAUACGCAUUCGACAAGUUGAGAGCAUACUUUCUAAAGUACUCGCAAGAAACGGAUGAUCAAAUUGCGGGAGAGAACAAGAAAAAGUACAAGUACCAGGUCCUACCAAAGGUUGACAAAUGGAUGGUAUUUCAAUCAUGGAAGGCUGACUCCCAAACGGCUACGUUGUACAAUAACGAGGAUUGGACAUACCAAGUGAAUGAGCCUGGAGGAACGACAAACGAUGGCGAGCAACAUGGAAACAGGGCGUUCAAGGUAUCUUUAUCGUUGUGUGAUUGCUCUUGUGGGAGGCCAAGGUUGCUUCAUCUCGCAUGCUCACAUUUGUACACGACAGCUCGCACUAGGAAUGUGGACGUCAACCAUCCACUAACUAUGAGGGAGUCCGAGUUCUCGAUCAUGACCACGAAGCAUACAUGGGCUCCUAGAUUUGAACCAUACUUUGACCAAUCACAAUGGCUGGAGUAUCAUGGAGUACAACUAUGGCCCGACCUGGAGUGGAAGGCUGUGAAACGGGGAAGACGAAAGACAAAGCGUUUUAGAGGAGACAUGGAUGGAUGGGGCCAUGGUGGUGGCAGAGAAAUGGGGAACAAUCAAUUCCAAGAGCCUACUGAGAGAUCACAUUGUGGAGAGUGCGGUGUAACAGGGCACAACACAAGAAGGUAUAUGAAGCCAAAGAAGAAAUCGAAAAACAAUGAUUCAAGGUUAAGCCAACCAAGUCCUAGCCAACAUGGUCAUAGCCAAGCAAGUACAAGCCAACAAGGUCCUAGUCAAGCAAGUACAAGCCAACAAGUUCCUACUCAACAUGUUCCUAGCCGACUUGGGCUUACUAGAGGACGUGGUGGUGGUGGUGCUAGAGGCAGGGGUGGGAUAGGUCGAGGUGGUGCUAGAGGCAGGGGUGGGAUAGGUGGUGGUGGUGCUAGAGGCAGGGGUGGGAUAGGUGGUGGACUUAGUAGGAUUGGUAUGCGUGGAUACCUAGGGGGACCAUUUUCGUAUGUCACAUAUUUGACUUAUCUUUAUCAUGUUGUUUUUCAUGCUCCUUUGUAUGUUAUUGUACUAACUCUGAGCCUUGAUGUGUUUAUGUAGGUAUGGCGGCAUCUCAACCAAACAAGGCAACAACGGAGUGGGGGGAGGAGAAGGAUGCAGUUGGUGAGGACCAGGGGUUGAGGGAGAGGGCUGCAAAGAAGUUGAGAGAGGAGGACAUACCAAUAAGGGCAUCCAUUUGGUGCCGCCAUCCCUCAGAAUCAGUGCUCAUACAAAGAGGCUUCCCCUCGAUCGGAAGUGCGGUGAUCAUGGAAACAUCUUGAAGAGUCACUGUCAUCUCUCCGGUCCGGAGGUGAAAACUAUGGGUCUCCAGCCUCCACCAAUCAAUAAGUGCAGUGAUUGCCGCAACGUUCAGGUUGGGUGUUGACCGACUCACAAACUGAAUGAAUGGAAGGAGUCCUGUCAUCUCGAUAUAUGGUGUGUACCGCUCAUCGUACUGCAUUACAGUCGAUGCCCCGUGAGACCGAAUCUUCAAGGGCACAAGCUUCUGCAAACAAAUAGGAGUGAUAUGAUUACAGUUUCAUUUUAUUAAAUAAAUACAUGAUUUUUUUAACAUAUGAUCUACUUACCAUUUCCUUCUCCGACAUCAAAUAGGCCCGGUGUUCAACGUCAUAGGCAUCAUUGAAAAGCCACACCAUCCUACAUAUCACAAAAAAUACACUUAUGAAUCUACUUAUGAAUCCUACAUAUCAUUCAACUUAUGAAUCCUACAUAUGAAUCCUACAUAUCACAAAAGCCACACCACACCAUCCAAAAGGCAUCAUUCAUCUUAUGAAUCCUACAUAUCACAAAAAAUACACUUUAAAAAAAAUACAUGCAACUAACUCCUCAUCUACAUAGAGCUAACUCCUCAUCUACUUAUGAAUCUACAUAGGACUAACUCCUCAUCUACAUAGGACUAACUCCUCAUGAUCAUACAUAGGACUAACUCCUCAAAUUCAAUCAAAAUAUGGCUCUCAACCUAACUAACCCAAAUCUGAAAAAUACACAAUGCUAUUCGGAUAGAUAGAUGGGAAACGGAAGAGAGUACCUCGUACACAAGUUUGGGGGAUCAAUCCACAGAAGAAAUCACCAGAUCUGAAGCAUUUAGAAGAGGGGAUUCAGAUGAGGAGAAGAGGCAGCCGCCUGAUACGUCUCGGUCGUAUCUACUUUUCCAAACUCUUUUGCCCUUGUUUUGGACUCUAAUUUGCAUGAUUUGAAUGGAACCAACCCGGACUAACGUUGUUUUCAGCAGAAUUGCCAUGGUGUUGUUUUUGCGCAGAAAUAAAAGUUCUCAGAAUGACCUGAAAAUUUACGGAGAAUUUUUGUGGAAUAUAUAAAAAAUACUGCCGCAAGAAUCAACAGAGGAAGUGGAGCGUGGAGCCCAGAAGCCCACCAGGCGCUGCCCCCCCUGACCGCGCCUGGCAGGCUUGUGGGGCCCACAAAACUCCACCACCUCCAAAUCCAGCUCUAUUUAGUCCAUUUCGCCCGAAAAAAUCAAGGAGAAGAGUUCAUCGCGUUUUACGAUACGAAUGCGCCGCCACCUCCUGUUCUUCAUCUGGAGGGCAGAUCUGGAGUCCGUUCUGGGCUCCGGAGAGGGGAGAUCGUCGCCGUCGUCAUCACCAACCUUCCUUCAUCGCCAAUUCCAUGACGCUCUUCACCGUUCGUGACUAAUCUCAUCGUAGGCUUGCUGGACAGUGAUGGGUUGGAUGAGAUCUAUCAUGUAAUCGAGUUAGUUUUGACGGGGAUUGAUCCUAGUAUCCACUAUGUUCUGAGAUUGAUGUUGCUACUACUUUGCCAUGCUUAAUGCUUGUCACUAGGGCCCGAGUGCCAUGAUUUCAGAUCUGAACCUAUUAUGUUGUCGCCAAUAUAUGUGUGUUCUUGAUCCUAUCUUGCAAGUUGUAGUCACCUACUAUGUGUUAUGACCCGACAACCCCGGAGUGACAAUAGCCGGAACCACUCCCGGAGAUGACCAUAGUAUGAGGAGUUCAUGUAUUCACCAAGUGUUAAUGCGUUGGUCCGGUUCUUUAUUAAAAGGAGAACCUUAAUAUCCCGUAGUUUUCAUUAGGACCCCGCUGCCACGGGGGGGAUGGACAAUAGAUGUCAUGCAAGUUCUUUUCCCUAAGCACGUAUGACUACAUACGGAAUACAUGCCUACAUUACAUUGACGAACUGGAGCUAGUUACAUAUCUCUUCGUGUUAUAACUGUUGCAUGAUGAAUAGCAUCCGGCAUAAUCAUCCAUCACCGAUCCAAUGCCUACGAGUCUUUUACUACUGGUCCUUGCUACGUUACUUUGCUGCUACUGCUGUCACUACUGCUACGUUACUCUGUUGCUACUGCUGUUACUUUGCUGCUACUGCUGUCACUUUGCUGCUACUGGUUACUGUUGCUACUGUCCUAUCAUACUACCUUGCUGCUGAUACUUUGCUGCAGAUACUAAAUGUUUCAGGUGUGGUUGAAUUGACAACUCAACUGCUAAUACUUGAGAAUAUUCUUUGGCUUCCCCUUGAGUCGAAUCAAUAAAUUUGGGUUGAAUACUCUACCCUUGAAAACUGUUGCGAUCCCCUAUACUUGUGGGUUAUCAAGACUAUUUUCUGGCGCCGUUGCCGGGGAGGCACAACUAUAUUCUCCGAGUCACUUGGGAUUUACGUCUGCCGGUCACUAUGAGGAAUCCGAUAGAUCCAAGAACUAAAGUCUUGCCCUCAACUACGAGGACAAGCAAGGAACUGCCAUCUAGCUCUGCACUUGAUUCACCUUCCGUUAUGAGUAAGUUUGCGACACCACCUCCUGCUAGAAAUCUUGAUAUGUCGCCUGUGCUUGAUGAUGCUACUUCUGCUGCCCAUGAUGCUUAUGAUGAUGCUAUGCUUGAUACUGCUUUGCCACUAGGUGCCCUUGAUGCACAAAUUGCUAGAAUUGAUGCUAGAUGUGAUGAUACUUCUGAAACUGCUAAUACUAUUGAAGUAGAACCUGCUAUUUUGCCUGCUAGAACUAGCUCUCCUAGACAUGAAUUGCCUGAUAUGCCUGAGUGAUAUGUUAUGGAGGAAGAGAUAGCUGAGGACUUUCUUGCUUGUAAGGAUAGCUAUGAUGUUGAGAAAUUACUGCUCAAGUGGAAAGAAAAAUCUUUGAACGCUAGGAUGAAAUACGACCCGAAGUUUGCUACUUCGCCUAUCUUUGUGACCGAUAAAGAUUAUGAAUUCUCUGUCGACCUUGAGUUAAUCACUCUGGUCGAAUCUGAUCCUUUUCACGGUUAUGAGUCUGAAACGGUUGUAGCCCAUCUUACCAAACUGCACGAUAUAGUCACCCUAUUCAUUAGUGAGGAAAAGAUCCGCCACUACUAUAUCCUCAAGCUGUUUCCUUUCUCGCUAAAGGAUGAUGCUAAGACCUGGUUCACUUCUCUUGCUCCUGGUUGUGUGCGUAGCCCCCAGGAUAUGGUCCACUACUUCUCUGAAAAAUAUUUCCCUGCCCAUAAGAAGCAAGCUGCCUUGCAGGAAAUAUACAACUUUGCUCAAGCUCAAGAAGAGAGUCUCCCACAAGCGUGGGGGAGGCUCGUCUAGCUACUGAAUGCUUCUAGAGAAUGAAAUACUUGAUAUCUUCUAUAAUGGACUUACCGAUGCUUCUAGAGACCACCUAGAUAGUUGUGCUGGUUGUGUUUUUAGGGAACGAACUGUAGAACAAGCUGAGAUCCUAUUGAAUAACAUCUUGUGCAAUGAGAAUGCUUGGACUAUUCCCGAAGCACCUCCUAAGACAACUCCUAAGAAGAGAGGUAUUAUAUUCCUCAGUCCCAAAGAUAUGCAAGAAGCUAAGAAAUCUAUGAAAGAGAAAGGCAUUAAAUAUGAAGAUGUCAAAAAUCUACCACCUAUAGAAGAGAUCCAUGGUCUUGAUAAGCCGAUACAGGUAGUAGAAGUAAAUUCUCUACGUAGGUUUGAUGAGAGUGAUAUUCCUUUUGAUAAACCUGCUAGCCUAUGCCUGGAUGAAUUUGAUAACUUUGUUGCCAAACAACAGAGUCUCAAUGAUUAUGUUAGCAGACAAUUGGAACAAAAUGCUCGUAUGCUUAGUCAUUUAAGUGCUUGUGUGGACAGAAAUGUCAAUGAUCUUAAGCUUCUGAGUAGACAUGCCUCUAUGGUUACUACUCAGGUGGAACAAGUACUUAAGUCUCAGAAUGACUUGCUCAAUGAGUUGAAUGACAAUUCUGUCAGAGUCAUUACUAGAGGCGGUAGAAUGACUCAGGAACCUUUGUAUCCUGAGGGUCAUCCUAAGAGAAUUGAACAAGAUUCUCAAGGAGUUAGCACUGAUGCACCUAGUCAUCCUAGGAAGAAGAAGAAAGAUGAUAGGAACUUGCACGCUAGCAACCCAGAUGCUGUUACCCCUGAGAGUCCAAACGAUGCCUCUGUUUCUGAUACUGAAACACAAUCUGGUGAUGAACAUGAGCCUAAUGAUAAUAUCGAUAGUGAUGUUCAUGUGGAUGCUCAACCUAGCAAUGAUAAGGAUGUGGAGAUUGAACCUGUUGAUCUUGAUAACCCACAACCUAAGGCUAGGAGAUGCGAUAAGAAUGACUUCACUUCUAGGAAGCAUGGUAAAGAAAGGGAACCAUGGGUUCAGAAACCCAUGCACUUUCCUCCCAAACCAUCCAAGAAAAAGGAUGAUGAGGAUUUUGAGCGCUUUAUUGAAAUGAUUAGACCUGUCUUUCUGCAAAUGCGUUUGACAGAUAUGCUCAGAAUGUCUCCGUAUGCUAAGUACAUGAAAUAUAUUGUGACUAAUAAGAGGAGGAUACCUGAGGUUGAGAUUUCCACCAUGGUCGCUAAUUAUACCUUCAAGGGUGGAACUCCUAAGAAACUAGGUGAUCCCGGAGUGCCCACUAUACCUUGCUCCAUUAAAGGAAACUACGUUAGAACUGCUUUAUGCGACCUUGGAGCCGGUGUUAGUGUCAUGCCUCUCUCUCUUUAUCGUAGACUUGAACUGGAUAAGUUGACACCCAUUGAAAUCUCUCUGCAAAUGACCGACAAAUCAACUGCUUUUCCUAUCGGCAUUUGCGAGGAUGUGCCUGUUGUGGUUGCGAACGUUACUAUCUUAACACACUUUGUUAUCCUGGAUAUUCCCGAGGAUGAUGCCAUGGCGGUCAUUCUUGGAAGACCCUUUUUAAACACUGCAGGGGCUGUUAUAGAUUGCAACAAAGGCAAUGUCACUUUCCAUGUCAACGGUAAUGAGCAUACGGUGCACUUUCUGAAGAAACAAUAUCGAGUACAUUGCAUCAAUGCUAUCGAAAAAUCUUCAUCGAUUCUUAUUGGGAGCUUUGAAUGCCAUAUACCUCUUGUUAAGAUGAAGGAUGAUUUGAUUGUCGGGGAUAUACACAUCCCCAUUGAGGUGACCUAGUGACUAUUCAAAAAUUCUCUGUUCUCUUUUGCGAUUCGAAAAAGUUUGUCAAGGAGACUUGAUCAACCUCAUUGACAUAUUUCUUUUGCUGACCAUGAGAUGGAUGAAUCGAGGAGUCACAAACCUCUGUUCCAAGCUUUCACCUUCGGUUGCUUAGAAGAAAAAUGAUAGAUUUAGUUUAGUUUUCCCUGUUUCAUGUUUUAGCAUCCCGAAGAAAAGUACCCCAAAAUUAAAAGUUCUCCGAAUGCCGUGAAAAUCAAGUAUGAUUUUUUCUGGAAUUUUUGAAAAAUACUGAGACGAAGAGCUAGUCUGGGGGCUGCACCAGUGGGCCACAAGCCCUGGAGGUGCGAGCACCCCCUGGCCACGCCUACCAGGCUUGUGGGGCCCACGUGCACCCCCUCCACUCAUUCUAGCUCCCAUCUGCUUCCCCUACCUCCAGAAAAAAUCGUUUCGCAGCUCAAACCCGUGUUCUUGCUCUUCUUGCUGGGAUUUUCGAUCUCCUUGUGCAAAGCACCAUUCACCAAACUGUUUUGGGGAAAUUACUCCUUGGUAAGUGACUCCUCCAUUGGUCCAAUUAGUUUUUGCUCUAGUGCCUUAUACUUCGCGUAUUUUUGCUGCCUUGAUGACCAUGUUCUUGAGCUUUGCAUGCUAAUUUUAGCUGGUCCCAAGUAGUUUGGAUGCGUAAUAUGGUCUCUAGGCACUUGUGGGAGUAGUUGCUAUGAGUUUUGUUGAGCCUUGUUCACUUUUCCUUAGAAUCACUAAAACUUUCAGAAAUUUUCAAAGAUAGAAAAGGGAAAAGAUGAGGAGGUUCUUAAGAGGCUCUUCAAGCCGUGACCCCAAGGAUGAUGGAAGUGAGAAGAAGCCCAAGUAUCGGGUCCCUUGAGUUGCAGAAGUUCGAGCGUGCGAGUGGCCAAGCGAUGUGUUCUUACGCGCCGCCGGACUUUAUGAGGACUUUUAUUACUUGGUGGAGAACGCAGGCCUUACCGCCUUCGUUGAAGAUAAGUGUCCGCAAUACCUCCUAUGGUUGAGUUCAAAUUAUAUGAUAUCUUCGUACAAAGCUUUAACUUCUACCCUAGGAAGAAUCCUCCUAUGGUUGAGUUCAAAUUAUAUGAUAUCCCCCAGUGCAUGUGACUCCAGGAUUUUUGCAAUGUUUGCAAAUUGCCUUUUGUUGGGGAUAUUCAUGAACCUCGUCCACGAGACUUGGAAGCUUUCAUCGAUACUAUUGCUGUAGGAGAGGAGAGAGGAGUGUCUUGCGCUAGAGCUGUAGCAUACAUUUUCCCGUGCUUCGGUACUUCUCACUAUUUGUGCGAAAAUGUUUGAUUGACUGUGGGAAAGUUGGGUCCCUGAUACGUCUCAAACGUAUCUAUAAUUUUUGAUGGUUUCACGCUGUUAUCUUAUCAACUUUGGAUGUUUUGUAUACCUUUUAUAUCUUUUUUGGGACUAACUUAUUAAUCCAGUGCCAAGUGCGAGUUCCUGUUUUUUCUGUGUUUUUGACUCUUUUCAUAUCUGAUUUUGGAACGGAGUCCAAAUGGAAUAAAAUCCCCGAAAUAAUUUUUUCCAGAAAGGAAGAAGGUCAGAGGACGUGAGGGCCAACGCAGGGGGGCAACAGGGAGCCCACAAGCCCUGUUGCCGCGACCAGGGGGCCCCGCGGCAACCAGGCUUGUGGCCUCCCUGGUGCUCCCGUGACCUAGCUCUUUGGCCUAUAAAUUUCCUAAAAAUCCAGAAAAAAUAAGGGCAUCCACGAAAACACUUUUCCGCCGCCGCAAGCUUCCGUGUCCGCGAGAUCUCAUCUGGAGACCCUUCCCGGUGCCCUGCCGGAGGGGACUUUGGAGUUGGAGGGCUUCUACAUCAACAUCAUCGCCGCUCCAAUGACUCGUGAGUAGUCCACUUCAGACCUACGGGUCCGUAGUUAGUAUCUAGAUGGCUUCUUCUCUCUCUUGGAUCUUCAAUACAAAGUUCUCCAUGAUCUUCAUGGAGAUCUAUCCUAUGUAAUCCUCUUUGGCGGUGUGUUUGUCGAGAUCCGAUGAAUUGUGGAUUUGUGAUCAGAUUAUCUACGAAUUAUAUUUGAGUCUUUGCUGAUUUCUUAUUUGCAUGAUUUGAUAUCCUUGUAAGUCUCUCCGAGUCUUGGGUUUUGUUUGGCCAACUAGAUCUAUGAUUCUUGCAAUGGGAGAAGUGCUUGGUUUUGGGUUCAUACCGUGUGAUGACCUUUCCCAGUGACAGAAGGGGCAGAAAGGCACACAUCGUGUUGUUGCCAUCAAGGGUAACAAGAUGGGCUUUCAUCAUAGAUUUGAGAUUGUUCAUCUGCUCAUGUCAUCUUGCUUAAGGCGUUACUAUGUUCUUUUGAACUUAAUACACUAGAUGCAUGUUGGAUAGCGGUCGACGUGUGGAGUAAUAGUAGUAGAUGUAGAAAGUAUCGGUCUUCUUGUUUUGGACGUGAUGCCUAUAGAAAUAAUCAUUGCCUUAGAUAACGUCACGACUUUGCGCGGUUCUAUCAAUUACUCGAGAGUAAUUCGUUCACCCACCGUCUACUUGCUUUCAUGAGAGAAGCCACUAGUGUACACUACGGCCCCCGGGUCUAUUCACAACUUUCAUUUCCACUUUCACUUUUACUUUGCUUUGUUUACUCUUUGCUUUCAGUUCUCACUUUGCAAACAAUCUAUAAGGGAUUGACAACCCCUUCAUAGCGUUGGGUGCAAGCUCGUUGUGUUUGUGCAGGUACUUGUGACUUGAACGCUCCUCCUACUGUAUUGAUACCUUGGUUCUCAAACUGAGGGAAAUACUUACCGCCACUGUGCUACAUCACCCUUUCCUCUUCAAGGGAACACCAACACAAGGCUCCAAGGCCGCGGGGAAAUCCUUUGCAUAUUUGCCAAGGAAGUCCCUAUAGGCGUAGCCGUAGCAGCAGGAUUCCCGGCGCCGUUGCCAGGGAAGAUCUGUUGUCGCAGUAGCAGAAGGAUUUCUGGCGCCGUUGCCAGGGAGAAGAGAUCAAGUCAAGAUCUAUCCAAGUAGGUGUCACAAACUCAUCUCUUGCAUUUACCUUUUUUGCUAGUUGCCUUUCGUUUUCCUCUCCCCCACUUCACAUUUGCCGUUUUCAUUUGCCUUUCUCCUUUGCCGUUUUCUUUUGCCUUUCGCCCUUUUCUCUUGCUUGCUUUCUGUUCGUUUGUGUGCCUUGUGCCUUCAAUAUGCUUGCAUCUUCGCUUGCUGAAAAUCUAGUGAUAUGGAUCCUCAUCCACUUGCUAAUCUCUUUAAGAGAUCCAAUUAUGUUGAUCCAAUUGCUACUAAGUUGAGUGCACUUGACUUUCUCUAUGGAGUUUUGCUUGAGAUGUGUGAAUCUGAAAAUCGUGAUGAAGAAAUUCAUGAAGUGAUUCACGAGGGCUCCUUGGAUGAAAAGCAUGAUUGCAAUGGUUUCACUAUAAAUUCUAUUAGUGACAAUCAUGCUAAAAAUAUGCAAAACCCUAAGCUUGGGGAUGCUAGUUUUGCUAUGACCACUACUUAUUGCAAUAAUCAUGAUUGGGGUGAUGAUCUUUCUUAUGAUCUUGAAAAUUUGUUUAAACCUCAUGAUGAAUAUGAUAUUUGCAAUAAUAUUGAAAGUGGGUUUGGAGAAGUCAUGACUUUAGUUGAUGAUAAUCCCACUAUUUUUGAAGAGCGUCAACUUUGCAUGCAUGUGGAUCAUGAAAAGAAUACCCUAUGUGAUAAUUACAUUGUUGAAUUCGAAUAUGAUCCCACAUGCAACUGCUAUGAGAGAGGAAAAUAUUUUGGUAGAAACUUUCAUGUUACCAAAUUACCUCUCGUUAUGUGGAGAUUGCUAUUGUCUCUUUCUUCUUCCUUGCAUAUGGCAACUAUUGGUUGUCUUGACAAUCUGUUUUCCUCUAAAAUGCCUAUGCAUAGGAAGUAUGUUAGACUUAGAUGUGAUUUUCACAUGCUUUAUGAUGCUCUCGUUUGCUUCAAUUAUUCUCUUUUGUGUGAGCAUCAUUGAAUUAUCAAUGCCUAGCUAAGGGCGUUAAACAAUAACGCUUGUUGGGAGGCAACCCAACAAAUCUAUCCUUUUUAUUUCUGUUUUGUGUUUUCCACACUUUCAUAAUUCUGUUAUGAUUAUGUUUUUUGUGUUUCUUUUGCGUUUGUGCCAAGUAAAACCGUUAUGAUUAGUCUUGGGGAUGAUCGUUUGGUCAUGCUGGAAAAGACAGAAACUUUCUGCUCACGAAAAGAAUUUUCAUAUUUUUUCUGUAAGACAUUUUGAAUUGAUUCUUUUUGCUGCUGAUUGCUACGCAAAUUCUUCAGACUGUCAUAAUUUAUCAGAAUUUUUGAAGUACCAGAAGUAUACGAAGUAUACAUAUUGCUACAGACUGGUCUGCUGUUAACAGAUUCUGUUUUUGUUGAGUUGGUUGCUUAUUUUGAUGAAACUUGUUGGGGAACGUCGCAUGGGAAACAAAAUUUUCCUACGCGCAUGAAGACCUAUCAUGGUGAUGUCCAUCUACGAGAGGGGAUGAGUGAUCUACGUACCCUUGUAGACCGUACAGCAGAAGCGUUAGUGAACGCGGUUGAUGUAGUGGAACGUCCUCACGUCCCUCGAUCCGCCCCGCGAACUAUCCCGCGAUCAGUCCCACGAUCUAGUGCCGAACGGACGGCACCUCCGCGUUCAGCACACGUACAGCUCGACGAUGAUCUCGGCCUUCUUGAUCCAGCAAGAGAGACGGAGAGGUAGAAGAGUUCUCCGACAGCGUGACGGCGCUCCGGAGGUUGGUGAUGACCUUGUCUCAGCAGGGCUCCGCCCGAGCUCCGCAGAAACGCGAUCUAGAGGAAAAACCGUGGAGGUAUGUGGUCGAGCUGCCGUGGAAAAGUCGUCUCAAAUCAGCCAUAAAACCUCCGUAUAUAUAGGUGGGAGAGGGGGGCCUUGCCUUAGGGCUCAAGGAGCCCCAAGGGGGUCGGCCGAGCCAAGGGGGGAAGGUCCUCCCCCCCCAAACCGAGUUGGACUCGGUUUGGUGGGUGGGAGUCCUUCCUUCCCUUCCCACCUCCUCCUUUUUUUUCUUUCUCUUUGAUUUUUCUUCCAAUGCACAUAGGGCCCUUUUGGGCUGUCCCACCAGCCCACUAAGGGCUGGUGCGCCACCCUCAAGGCCUAUGGGCUUCCCCGGGGUGGGUUGCCCCCCCCCUCGGUGAACUCCCGGAACCCAUUCGUCAUUCCCGGUAACUCCAAAAACCUUCCGGUAAUCAAAUGAGGUCAUCCUAUAUAUGAAUCUUCGUUUCCGGACCAUUCCGGAAACCCUCGUGACGUCCGUGAUCUCAUCCGGGACUCCGAACAACAUUCGGUAACCAACCAUAUAACUCAAAUACGCAUAAAACAACGUCGAACCUUAAGUGUGCAGACCCUGCGGGUUCGAGAACUAUAUAGACAUGACCCGAGAGACUCCUCGGUCAAUAUCCAAUAGCGGGACCUGGAUGCCCAUAUUGGAUCCUACAUAUUCUACGAAGAUCUUAUCGUUUGAACCUCAGUGCCAAGGAUUCAUAUAAUCCCGUAUGUCAUUCCCUUUGUCCUUCGGUAUGUUACUUGCCCGAGAUUCGAUCGUCAGUAUCCGCAUACCUAUUUCAAUCUCGUUCACCGGCAAGUCUCUUUACUCGUUCCGUAAUACAAGAUCCCGUAACUUACACUAAGUCACAUUGCUUGCAAGGCUUGUGUGUGAUGUUGUAUUACCGAGUGGGCCCCGAGAUACCUCUCCGUCACACGGAGUGACAAAUCCUAGUCUUGAUCCAUACUAACUCAAUGAACACCUUCGGAGAUACCUGUAGAGCAUCUUUAUAGUCACCCAGUUACGUUGCGAUGUUUGAUACACAUAAAGUAUUCCCCCGGUGUUAGUGAGUUAUAUGAUCUCAUGGUCACAGGAACAAAUACUUGACACGCAGAAAACAGUAGCAACAAAAUGACACGAUCAACAUGCUACGUCUAUUAGUUUGGGUCUAGUCCAUCACGUGAUUCUCCUAAUGACGUGAUCCAGUUAUCAAGCAACAACACCUUGUUCAUAAUCAGAAGACACUCACUAUCUUUGAUCAACUGGCUAGCCAACUAGAGGCAUGCUAGGGACGGUGUUUUGUCUAUGUAUCCACACAUGUAAAUGAGUCUUCAUUCAAUACAAUUAUAGCAUGGAUAAUAAACGAUUAUCUUGAUACAGGAAUUAUAAUAAUAACUAUAUUUAUUAUUGCCUCUAGGGCAUAAUUCCAACAGUCUCCCACUUGCACUAGAGUCAAUAAUCUAGUCCUCACAUCAUCAUGCGAAUUACAUUGUAAUAAAUCUAACACCCAUACAGUUCUGGUGUUGAUCAUGCUUAGCCCGUGGAAGAGGUUUAGUCAGCGGGUCUGCUACAUUCAGAUCCGUGUGCACUUUGCAUAUAUUUACGUCCUCUCCUUCGACGUAGUCGCGGAUGAGGUUGAAACGUCGUUUGAUGUGUCUGGUCUUCUUGUGAAACCGUGGUUCCUUUGCUAAGGCAAUGGCACCCGUGUUGUCACAGAACAAGGUUAUUGGAUUCAGUGCGCUUGGCACCACUCCAAGAUCCAUCAUGAACUGCUUCAUCCAGACACCCUCCUUAGCCGCCUCCGAGGCAGCCAUGUACUCCGCUUCACAUGUAGAAUCUGCUACGACGCUUUGCUUGGAACUGCACCAGCUUACCGCACCCCCAUUAAGAAUAAAUACGUAGCCGGUUUGCGACUUAGAGUCGUCCGGAUCUGUGUCAAAGCUUGCAUCGAUGUAACCUUUUACGGCGAGCUCUUCGUCACCUCCAUACACGAGAAACAUCUCCUUAGUCCUUUUCAGGUACUUCAGGAUAUUCUUGACCGCUGUCCAGUGAUCCACUCCUGGAUUACUCUGGAACCUACCUGCCAUACUUAUGGCCAGGCUAACGUCCGGUCUAGUGCAAAUCAUUGCAUACAUGAUAGAACCUAUGGCUGAAGCAUAGGGGACGGAGCGCAUAUGCUCUCUAUCUUCAUCAGUUGCUGGGCACUGAGUCUUACUCAAUCUCGUACCUUGUAAAACUGGCAAGAACCCUUUCUUGGACUGUUCCAUUUUGAACCUCUUCAAAACUUUAUCAAGGUAUGUGCUUUGUGAAAGUCCUAUCAGGCGUUUUGAUCUAUCCCUAUAGAUCUUAAUGCCUAGAAUGUAAGCAGCUUCUCCUAGGUCCUUCAUAGAGAAACUUUUAUUCAAGUAAUCCUUUAUGCUCUCCAAAAACUCCACGUUGUUUCCAAUCAGCAAUAUGUCAUCCACAUAUAAUAUUAGAAACGCCACAGAGCUCCCACUCACUUUCUUGUAAAUACAAGAUUCUCCAACCACUUGUAUAAACCCAAAUUCUUUGAUCACCUCAUCAAAGCGUUUGUUCCAACUCCGAGAUGCUUGCACCAGUCCAUAAAUGGAUCGCUGGAGCUUGCACACCUUGUUAGCAUUCUUAGGAUCGACAAAACCUUCGGGUUGCAUCAUAUACAAUUCUUCCUUAAGGAAACCGUUAAGGAACGCCGUUUUGACAUCCAUCUGCCAGAUUUCAUAAUCGAAAAAUGCAGCUAUUGCUAACAUGAUUCUGACGGACUUAAGCAUCGCUACGGGUGAGAAUGUCUCAUCGUAGUCAACUCCUUGAACUUGUGAAAAACCCUUUGCCACAAGUCGAGCUUUAUAAACGGUCACAUUGCCGUCAGCGUCUGUCUUUCUCUUAAAGAUCCAUUUGUUCUGAAUAGCCUUGCGGCCUUCAGGGAGUACCUCCAAAGUCCACACUUUGUUCUCAUACAUGGAUCCUAUCUCGGACUUCAUGGCUUCUAGCCAUUUGUUGGAAUCUGGGCCCACCAUUGCUUCUUCAUAAUUUGCAGGUUCAUUGUUGUCCAACAACAUGAUUGAUAAUACGGGAUUACCGUACCACUCUGGAGCAGCACGUGGUCUCGUCGACCUGCGUGAUUCGACAGAAACUUGAACCAGAGUUUCAUGAUCAUCAUCAUUAACUUCCUCCUCAACCGGCGUCGCAACGACAGAGGUUUCCCCUUGCCCUGCGCCACCAUCAAGAGGGAUGGGAGGUUCGACAACUUCGUCAAGUUCUAUCUUCCUCCCACUCAAUUCUCUCGGGAGAAACUCCUUCUCGAGAAAAGCUCCGUUUUUAGCAACAAACACUUUGCCCUCGGAUUUGAGAUAGAAGGUGUAUCCAAUGGUCUCUUUUGGGUAACCUAUGAAGACGCACUUUUCCGCUUUGGGUUCCAGCUUUUCAGGCUGAAGCUUUUUGACAUAAGCAUCACAUCCCCAAACUUUAAGAAACGACAACUUUGGCCUUUUGCCAUACCACAGUUCGUAUGGUGUCGUCUCAACGGAUUUUGAUGGUGCCCUAUUUAAAGUGAAUGCGGAUGUUUCUAAUGCAUAACCCCAAAACGAUAACGGCAAAUCGGUAAGAGACAUCAUAGAUCGCACCAUCUCUAAUAAAGUACGAUUACGACGUUCGGACACACCAUUACGCUGUGGUGUUCCAGGCGGUGUCAACUGUGAAACAAUUCCACAUUGUUUUAAGUGAGCACCAAACUCGAAACUCAGAUAUUCACCCCCACGAUCAGACCAUAGGAACUUGAUCUUCUUGUUACAAUGAUUUUCAACUUCACUCUGAAAUUGCUUGAACUUUUCAAAUGUUUCAGACUUGUGCUUCAUUAAGUAGACAUAACCAUAUCUACUCAAAUCGUCAGUGAAGGUGAGAAAAUAACGAUAUCCGCCGCGUGCCUCUAUGCUCAUCGGACCACACACAUCGGUAUGUAUGAUUUCCAACAACUCACUUGCACGCUCCAUUGUUCCGGAGAAUGGAGUUUUAGUCAUCUUGCCCAUGAGGCAUGGUUCGCACGUGUCAAGUGAAUCAAAGUCAAGUGACUCCAAAAGUCCAUCGGCAUGGAGUUUCUUCAUGCGCUUUACACCAAAGCGGCAGUGCCACAAAAAUAUGGCGCUAUCAUUGUUAACUCUAACUCUUUUGGUCUCAAUGUUAUGUAUGUGUGUAUCGCUAUCAAGAUUCAAUAUGAACAAUCCUCUCACAUUGGGUGCAUGACCAUAAAAGAUGUUACUCAUAGAAAUAGAACAACCAUUAUUCUCUGACUUAAAAGAGUAACCGUCUCGCAAUAAACAAGAUCCAGAUAUAAUGUUCAUGCUCAACGCAUGCACUAAAUAACAAUGAUUUAAGUUCAUAACUAAUCCUGAUGGUAACUGAAGUGAAACUGUGCCGACGGCGAUUGCAUCAACCUUGGAACCAUUUCCUACGCGCAUCGUCACUUCAUCUUUCGCCAGCCUUCGUCUAUUCCGCAGUUCCUGUUUCGAGUUGCAAAUAUGAGCAACAGAACCGGUAUCGAAUACCCAGGCACUACUACGAGAGCCGGUUAAGUACACAUCAAUAACAUGUAUAUCAAAUAUACCUGAUUUUUCUUUGGCCGCCUUCUUAUCUGCCAGAUACUUGGGGCAAUUGUGCUUCCACUGACCCAUACCCUUGCAAUAGUAACACUCUGUUUCAGGCUUAGGUCCAGCUUUGGGUUUCUUCGUCGGAUUGGCAACAGGCUUGCCGCUCUUCUUUGAAUUACCCUUCUUGCCUUUGCCGUUUCUCUUGAAACUAGUGGUCUUAUUCACCAUCAACACUUGAUGCUCUUUACGGAGUUCAGACUCUGCGACUUUCAGCAUCGGAAACAACUCGCCGGGUGACUUGUUCAUCCCUUGCAUGUUGUAGUUCAACACAAAGCCUUUAUAGCUUGGCGGCAGUGAUUGAAGGAUUCUGUCAGUGAUAGCCUCUUGUGGGAGUUCAAUCCCCAGCUCACCUAGACGGUUUGAUUACCCAGACAUUUUGAGCACAUGUUCACUGACAGACGAGUUCUCCUCCAUCUUGCAAGCAUAGAAUUUAUCGGAGGUCUCAUACCUCUCGAUCCGGGCGUUCUUCUAAAAGAUAAACUUCAACUCCUGGAACAUCUCAAAUGCUCCAUGACGCUCAAAGCGACGUUGAAGUCCCGGUUCUAAGCCAUACAAGACUGCACAUUGAACUACUGAGUAGUCCUCCUUACGUGCUAACCAAGCGUUCUUAACAUCCUGAUCAGCCGUAGCGGGUGGUUCAUCUCCUAGCGCAGCAUUAAGGACAUAAUCCUUCUUCCCAGCUUGUAAGAUUAGCUUAAGAUUACGAGCCCAGUCUACAAAGUUGCUUCCAUCAUCUUUCAACUUAGCUUUCUCUAGGAACGUAUUAAAAUUCAGGGUGACUAUCGCGUGAGCCAUGAUCUACAACACAAAUAUAUUCAAAGUGGACUUAGACUAUGUUCAAGAUAAUUAGAGUUUAACUUAAUCAAAUUAUUCGCUAAACUCCCACUCAAAAAGUACAUCUCUCUAGUUAUUUGAGUGGUUCAUGAUCCACUUACACUAGCUCAAGUCCGAUGAUCACGUGAGUUGAGUAAAGUUUCAGUGGUAAGCAUCCCUAUGCUAAUCAUAUCAUCUAUAUGAUUCAUGAUCGACCUUUCGGUCUCAUGUGUUCCGAGGCCAUGUCUGCACAUGCUAGGCUCGUCAAGCUUAACCCGAGUGUUCCGCGUGCGCAACUGUUUUGCACCGUUGUAUGUGAACGUUGAGUCUAUCACACCCGAUCAUCACGUGGUGUCUCGAAACGACGAACUGUAGCAACGGUGCACAGUCGGGGAGAACACAAUUUCGUCUUGAAAUUUUAGUGAGAGAUCACCUCAUAAUGCUACCGUCGUUCUAAGAAAAAUAAGGUGCAUAAAAGGAUUAACAUCACAUGCAAUUCAUAAGUGACAUGAUAUGGCCAUCAUCACGUGCUUCUUGAUCUCCAUCACCAAAGCACCGGCACGAUCUUCUUGUCACCGGUGCCACACCAUGAUCUCCAUCAACGUGUCGCCAUCGGGGUUGUCGUGCUACUGAUGGUAUUACUACUAAAGCUACAUCCUAGCAAAAUAGUAAACGCAUCUGCAAGCACAAACAUUAGUAUAAAGACAACCCUAUGGCUCCUGCCGGUUACCGUACCAUAGACGUGCAAGUCGAUAUUAUCUAUUACAACAUGAUCAUCUCAUACAUCCAAUAUAUCACAUCACAUCGUUGGCCAUAUCACAUCAUAAGCAUACCCUGCAAAAACAAGUUAGAUGUCCUCUAAUUUUGUUGUUGCAUGUUUUACGUGGUGACCAUGGGUAUCUAGUAGGAUCGCAUCUUAGUUACGCAAACACCACAACGGAGAUAUAUGAGUUGCUAUUUAACCUCAUCCAAGGACCUCCUCGGUCAAAUCUGAUUCAACUAAAGUUGGAGAAACCGACACUUGCCACUCAUCUUUGAGCAACGGGGUUACUCAUAGCGAUGAAACUAGUCUCUCGUAAGCGUACGAGUAAUGUCGGUCCAAGCCGCUUCCAUCCAACAAUACCGCAGAAUCAAGAAAAGACUAAGGAGGGCAGCAAAACGCACAUCACCGCCCACAAAAACUUUUGUGUUCUACUCGAGAAGACAUCUACGCAUGAACCUAGCUCUGAUACCACUGUUGGGGAACGUCGCAUGGGAAACAAAAUUUUCCUACGCGCACGAAGACCUAUCAUGGUGAUGUCCAUCUACGAGAGGGGAUGAGUGAUCUACGUACCCUUGUAGACCGUACAGCAGAAGCGUUAGUGAACGCGGUUGAUGUAGUGGAACGUCCUCACGUCCCUCGAUCCGCCCCGCGAACUAUCCCGCGAUCAGUCCCACGAUCUAGUGCCGAACGGACGGCACCUCCGCGUUCAGCACACGUACAGCUCGACGAUGAUCUCGGCCUUCUUGAUCCAGCAAGAGAGACGGAGAGGUAGAAGAGUUCUCCGGAAGCGUGACGGCGCUCCGGAGGUUGGUAAUGACCUUGUCUCAGCAGGGCUCCGCCCGAGCUCCGCAGAAACGCGAUCUAGAGGAAAAACCGUGGAGGUAUGUCGUCGGGCUGUCGUGGAAAAGUCGUCUCAAAUCAGCCCUAAAACCUCCGUAUAUAUAGGUGGGAGAGGGGGGGCCUUGCCUUGGGGCUCAAGGAGCCCCAAGGGGGUCGGCCGAGCCAAGGGGGGAAGGUCUCCCCCCCCAAACAGAGUUGGACUCGGUUUGGUGGGUGGGAGUCCUUCCUUCCCUUCCCACCUCCUCCUUUUUUUCUUUCUCUUUGAUUUUUCUUCCAAUGCGCAUAGGGCCCUUUUGGGCUGUCCCACCAGCCCACUAAGGGCUGGUGCGCCACCCUCAAGGCCCAUGGGCUUCCCCGGGGUGGGUUGCCCCCCCGGUGAACUCCCGGAACCCAUUCGUCAUUCCCGGUAACUACGAAAACCUUCCGGUAACCAAAUGAGGUCAUCCUAUAUAUCAAUCUUCGUUUUCGGACCAUUCCGGAAACCCUCGUGACGUCCGUGAUCUCAUCCGGGACUCCGAACAACAUUCGGUAACUAACCAUAUAACUCAAAUACGCAUAAAACAACGUCGAACCUUAAGUGUGCAGACCCUGCGGGUUCGAGAACUAUGUAGACAUGACCCGAGAGACUCCUCGGUCAAUAUCCAAUAGCAGGACCUGGAUUCCCAUAUUGGAUCCUACAUAUUCUAUGAAGAUCUUAUCGUUUGAACCUCAGUGCCAAGGAUUCAUAUAAUCCCGUAUGUCAUUCCCUUUGUCUUCGGUAUGUUACUUGCCCGAGAUUCGAUCGUCAGUAUCCGCAUACCUAUUUCAAUCUCAUUCACCGGCAAGUCUCUUUACUCGUUCCGUAAUACAAGAUCCCGUAACUUACACUAAGUCACAUUGCUUGCAAGGCUUGUGUGUGAUGUUGUAUUACGGAGUGGGCCCCGAGAUACCUCUCCGUCACACGGAGUGACAAAUCCUAGUCUUGAUCCAUACUAACUCAACGAACACCUUCGGAGAUACCUGUAGAGCAUCUUUAUAGUCACCCAGUUACGUUGCGAAGUUUGAUACACACAAAGUAUUCCUCCGGUGUUAGUGAGUUAUAUGAUCUCAUGGUCAUAGGAACAAAUACUUGACACGCAGAAAACAGUAGCAACAAAAUGACACGAUCAACAUGCUACGUCUAUUAGUUUGGGUCUAGUCCAUCACGUGAUUCUCCUAAUGACGUGAUCCAGUUAUCAAGCAACAACACCUUGUUCAUAAUCAGAAGACACUGACUAUCUUUGAUCAACUGGCUAGCCAACUAGAGGCUUGCUAGGGACAGUGUUUUGUCUAUGUAUCCACACAUGUAAAUGAGUCUUCAUUCAAUACAAUUAUAGCAUGGAUAAUAAACGAUUAUCUUGAUACAGGAAUUAUAAUAAUAACUAUAUUUAUUAUUGCCUCUAGGGCAUAAUUCCAACAAAACUAUGGAUAGUAUCGGGGGGUAUUAGCCAUGGAAGAUUGAAAAUACAGUAACCCAACAUCAACAUAAGUAGAAUUUAAGUUUGCUACAGUACCUAAGGAAGUGGUGGUUUGCUUUCUUAUACUAAUGUUAUCACGAGUUUCUGUUUAAGUUUCGUGUUGUGAAGUUUUCAAGUUUUGGGUGAAGUUCUUAUGGACAAAAAGAUAAAGAGUUGCAAGAUCUCAAGCUUGGGGAUGACCAAGGCACCCCAAGUUGAUUCAAGGAUGCUGUAAAGGCCUAAGCUUGGGGAUGCCCUGGGAAGGCAUCCCCUCUUUCGUCUUCAAUCCAUCGAUAACGUUACUUGGGGCUAUAUUUUUAUUCACCACAUGUUAUGUGUUUUUCUUGGAGCGUCUUGUAUCGUAGGAGUCUUCUAUUUUUGUUGUGUCACAAUCUUCCUUGCUGCACACCUAGAGAGAGAGACAUGCACUCACCGUGAUUUUGUCGAGCUUCACUUAUAUCCUUUGGUUAGACAAUUCAGCUCACAUGUGCUUCACUUAUAUCUUUUGAGCUAGUUGAUUUUGCUCUAUGUGCUUCACUUAUAUCUUUUAGAGCACGGAAGCGUGUGGCUUCGUAGUUGAUCUAUGCUAUGAAAGUAGUCUCAAAAGGGGUAGUUAUCCAAAGGGAUAUGAAAACUUCCACCUUCAUGUGCAUUGAAUAGUUAGAGAAGUUUGAUUCAUCUCAAUUAGUUUUGAGUUGUGGUUGUGGUAAUAUUGAAGUUAUAUUAGUAAGGUGUUGUGGAUCUAGAAAUACUUGUGUUGAAGUUAGUGAUUACCGUGGCAUGCACGUAUGGUGAACUGCUAUGUGAUGAAGUCUGAGCAUGAUUAGUCAAUUGAUUGUCAUCCUUUGUGUGGCGGUCGGGAUCGCACGAUGGUUUAUACCUACCAACCCUUCCCCUAGGAGUAUGCGUUGAAUGCUUUGUUUCGAUUACUACUAAAACUUUUGCAAUAAGUAUAUGAGUUCUUCAUGACUAAUGUUGAGUCCAUUGUUUAGAUGCACUUUCACCUUCCACCAUCACUAUCUUCUUUAGUGCCGUGCAACUUUCUCGGGUGCACAAAACCCACCAUUAGCCUCCCUCAAAACAGCCACCAUACCUACCUACUAUGGCUUUUUUCAAAGCCAUUCAGAGAUAUAUUGCCAUGCAACUACCACCAUGACAUGUGCCACCACUUCUACAUUGCCAUUGCAUGAUCAUAAGAUAGCUAGCAUGAUGUUUCCAUUGAUGUCUAUUCCAUGCUAGUUCAUUGUCACAGUACACUACCGAAGGCAUUCCAUAUAGAGUCAUCAUUGCUCUAAGUUUUGAGUUGUAAGUGUGAUGAUCAUCAUUGAUGGAGCAUUGUACCAUGUGAGGAAAUAAAAGAGGCCAGCGAAGCCCAUUUACAAAAAGAGGCCAAAGAUGCCCACAAAAAAAGGCCAAAGAGCCCACCAAAAAAAUGAGAGAAAAAGAGAGAAGGGACAGUGCUACUAUCUUUCCACACUUGUGCUUAUUAAGCACCAUGAUCUUCAUGAUUGAGAGUCUCUCGUUUUGUCACCACCAUAUAGCUAGUGGGAAAUUUUAAUUAUAUAACUUGGCUUGUAUAUUCCAAUGAUAGGCUUCCUCAAAAUUGCCUUAGGUCUUCGUGAGCAAGCAAGUUGGAUGCACCCCCACUAGUUUUCUUUAAGAGCUUUCAUAUACUCUUGGCUCUAGUGCAUCAAUUGUAUGGCAAUCCCUACUCAUUCACGUUGAUAUCUAUUGAUGAGAAUCUCCAUAGCUCAUUGAUAUGCCUAGUCAAUGUGACCAUCCUCUCCUUGUUUGUCUUGCAACCUCCACCACACUCCAUACCACUUUUAGUGCUAAAACCAUGGCUCACGCUCAUGUAUUGCAUGAGAGUUGAAAAGAUUUGAGAAAGUAAAGGUGUGAAAACAAUUACUUGGCCAAUACCGGGGUUGUGCAUGAUUUAAAUUCGUUGUGCAAGGAUGAUAGAGCAUAGCCAGACUAUAUGAUUUUGUAGGGAUAACUUUCUUUUGGCCUAGUUAUUUUGAAAGUUCAUGAUUAUCUUGCUAGUUUGCUUGAGUAUUGUUGUCUCCACGUCAAUAACAAACUAUUGUUUUGAAUCUAAUGGAUCUGAACAUUCACCUCACAUAAGAGGAGUUACAAAGGACAUCUAUGCUAGGUAGCAUGAAAGCAUAAAAAAUUCAUUCUUUAUCACUUCCCUACUCGAGGACGAGCAGGAGUUAAGCUUGGGGAUGCUUGAUACGUCUCAAACGUAUCUAUAAUUUUUGAUGGGUUCACGCUGUUAUCUUGUCAACUUUGGAUGUUUUGUAUACCUUUUAUAUCUUUUUUGGGACUAACUUAUUAAUUCAGUGCCAAGUACCAGUUCCUGUUUUUUUCCGUGUUUUUGACUCUUUUCAGAUCUGAUUUUGGAACGGAGUCCAAACGGAAUAAAAUCCCCGAAAUAAAUUUUUCCAGAACGGAAGAAGAUCGGAGGACGUGAGGGCCAAGGUAGGGGCCCACAGGGAGCCCACAAGCCCUGUUGCCGCGGCCAGGGGGGCCGCGGCAACCAGGCUUGUGGCCUCCCUGGUGCUCCCCUGCCCUAGCUCUUUGGCCUAAAAAUUCCCUAAAAAUCGAGAAAAAAUAAGGGCAUCCACGAAAACACUUUUCCACUGCCGCAAGCUUCCGUUUCCGCGAGAUCUCAUCUGGAGACCCUUCCCGGUGCCCUGCCGGAGGGGACUUUGGAGUUGGAGGGCUUCUACAUCAACAUCAUCGCCUCUCCAAUGAUUCGUGAGUAGUCCACUUCAGACCUACGGGUCCAUAGUUAGUAUCUAGAUGGCUUUUUCUCUCUCUUGGAUCUUCAAUACAAAGUUCUCCAUGAUCUUCAUGGAGAUCUAUCCGAUGUAAUCCUCUUUGGCGGUGUGUUUGUCGAGAUCCGAUGAAUUGUGGAUUUGUGAUUAGAUUAUCUAUGAGUUAUAUUAGAGUCUUUGCUAAUUUCUUAUUUGCAUGAUUUGAUAUCCUUGUAAGUCUCUCUGAGUCUUGGGUUUUGUUUGGCCAACUAGAUCUAUGAUUCUUGCAAUGGGAGAAGUGCUUGGUUUUGGGUUCAUACCUUGUGGUGACCUUUCCAAGUGACAGAAGGGGCAGCAAGGCACGCAUCGUGUUGUUGCCAUCAAGGGUAACAAGAUGGGCUUUCAUCAUAGAUUUGAGAUUGUUCAUCUACAUCAUGUCAUCUUGCUUAAGGCAUUACUAUGUUCUUUUGAACUUAAUACACUAGAUGCAUGUUGGAUAGCGGUCGACGUGUGGAGUAAUAGUAGUAGAUGUAGAAAGUAUCGGUCUACUUGUUUUGGACGUGAUGCCUAUAGAUAUAAUCAUUGCCUUAGAUAACGUCACGACUUUGCGCGGUUCUAUCAAUUGCUCGAUAGUAAUUCGUUCACCCACCGUCUACUUGCUUUCAUGAGAGAAGCCACUAGUGAACACUACGCCCCGGGGUCUAUUCACAACUAUCAUUUCCACACUCACUUUUACUUUGCUUUGUUUACUCUUUGCUUUCAGUUCUCACUUUGCAAACAAUCUAUAAGGGAUUGACAACCCCUUCAUAGCGUUGGGUGUAAGCUCUUUGUGUUUGUGCAGGUACAUGUGACUUGAACGCUCCUCCUACUGGAUUGAUACCUUGGUUCUCAAACUAAGGGAAAUACUUACCGCCGCUGAGCUACAUCACCCUUUCCUCUUCAAGGGAACACCAACGCUAGGCUCCAAGGCCGCGGGGAAAUCCUUUGCAUAUUUGCCAAGGAAGUCCCUAUAGGCGUAGCCGUAGCAGCAGGAUUCCUGGCGCCGUUGCCAGGGAAGGUCUGUUGUCGCAGUAGCAGUCCCUUAGCUCCCCAGAUCUUGCGGCCUUGCGCGAAGCCCUUUAUAAUGAUAAAACUUAUAGCUUGGGUGCUAUAGUAGCUCAACGGUUGAACACGAACCGUUCUAAAGGCGUUGUCUAUGGAGGUAUCUAUGCUACUCGUCUUGCUAGACAUUUUGAGAUACCUAUUAGACUCGACGAGGAAGAAGAGAUUCUUCUUCCCGAGAGAUAUCUAGAUUAUGAUAGCAUGGUUCGCCAUGACUUUCUUGUUAGAGAUAUAAAUAGAAGGAUGAUUUAUAACCUGGUAUUUAGUCAGGGUACUCGUGAGACUAUUACUUUGCCUGCUCCUUCUUUGUUUAAUCUUCAUGCAUGCAGGUACAUUAUUAUGCCCUUGGACAUCUACGCAUAUUGGGGCUUAGCCCAACCACAGGUGCCCGUGCCCGAGCCACCAGUCGUGUACCAGACGCCAGUUUAUCAGUAGGAGCCAGAAGAGCUCACACAACAGUGGCAAUCUCAGUCCACUCCGGAGUACCCCGGAGCGGGUUAUUUCCCUCCUUGGGAGUAGACCAACUUAGGCCAAAAGCCUAAGCUUGGGGGAGUACGUGUUUCUCACCGACUUUAUAUUCUUGCUUAUGCUUUCACUUUGUUUGUCGGUGUUCACACUUUGCCACUGUAUCAUACAUGCUAGUUUAUUUUCUUUUUCUCAUUUUCUUUUCGUGUGCCUGUCUAGUUUGAGAAAACCCAAAAAGAUUUUCUUGUUCUUCUUUUGCUUGUUGGGAGCUUUCCCGUGUAAAUAGUUUUCUUUUUCUUUGGGUCAAGGUAGAAGACCAUGGUUACAAUGUUUAGUGGCUCUCACAUGCAUAUCUAUUUAUCUGUUAAAGAGCCAUAUUACUUUGUCUUCUCCUUUGUGUCUUCUUGCAUAUUCCAGCUUAGUCCAAUGCACGAGCACUCUUAUUAUUGUUCACAUCAUUCGGUCGUGCAAGUGAAAUGCAAUAAUGACGAUAUAUGAUGAAGUGACUGAGCCUGGAAAAGCUGGUAUUAACUCGAUCUAUUUUGUUUUUGUAAAUAUGACUAGCUCAUCGUUCCUGAUUCAGCUUUGUCGUGAGGGAAACAUGUUUGCAAUGACAACUUAGAGAUCAUAGUUUCUGAAGCCAUGCUUAAUUAGCUAGGAGCUUAUAAUGGUUUGCUUUGGAUGCCAACAUGAAUUUUGAGAUGACUAUGAUGUAGUAUGAUAGGAUGGUAUCCUCCUUUGAAUGAUUCAAGUGGCUUGACUUGGCGCAUGUUUAUGCAUGUAGUUGAAACAAAAUCAACAUAGCCUCUAUGAUGUUCAUGUUCAUGGUGAUUUAUGUCCUACUCAUGCUUGCACUCAAUGUUGGUUAACCUCAAUGCAUUUUGAUGACUGUUGUCGCUCUCUAGUUGGUCGCUUCCCAGUCUUUUGCUAGCCUUCACUUAUACUAAGCGAGAAUACUACUUGUGCAUCCACUUCCAUAAACCCAAAGUUGUUCCAUAUGAGUCCACCAUACCUACCUAUAUGCGGUAUCUACUUGUCGUUCCAAGUAAAUUCGCAUGUGCCACUCUCUAAAUCUUCAAGAAAUAAUCUAUUUUGCAUGUCCGAACCGCUCAUGUGGUGACAGGGGCUAUCAGUAUCUUCCAUGUUAGGUGUGUUAUCCUCGGUAUGUGUUUAUUCACUAUCAUUCACGAGAAAGGGGCCGGUAAUUGGAAUGCCCAGUUCCAUGCUCAAAUAGAAAAGAUAAUUGCAAACAAAACUCCCCCUGGGUUGAUGUUGGUAUGGACGGCACCCGAGUAUUCGGCUAGUCGUGGAGUGUGAUUGAUCGGUGGUGGGGGAGUCAAAACUUUACUUUUCUGUUUGGGAACCGCCUAUAGCAUGUGUAGCAUGGAAGAUGGUGAGAACUCUUAGUCAUUGCGUUGACAAUGAAAGCAUGCCACCCAAAAUUAUUAUAUCUAUUUUCAAAAGCUUGAGUUGUGGCACCUCUGCAAAUCAAUGCUUCCCUCUGCGAAGGGCAUGUCUAUUUAUGUUCGUGUUGAGUCAUCCUCUUCUUAUAAAAGCACCAAUUAGAGAGCAUCUCUGUCAUUUUUAUGCUUUGAUUUUAACUGUGAUUGAGUUGUUGGGGAACGUCGCAUGGGAAACAAAAAAUUUCCUACACGCACGAAGACCUAUCAUGGUGAUGUCCAUCUACGAGAGGGGAUGAGUGAUCUACGUACCCUUGUAGACCGUACAGCAGAAGCGUUAGAGAACGCGGUUGAUGUAGUGGAACGUCCUCACGUCCCUCGAUCCGCCCCGCGAACAAUCCCGCGAUCAGUCCCACGAUCUUGUACCGAACGGACGGCACCUCCGCGUUCAGCACACGUACAGCUCGACGAUGAUCUCGGCCUUCUUGAUCCAGCAAGAGAGGCGGAGAGGUAGAAGAGUUCUCCGGCAGCGUGACGGCGCUCCGGAGGUUGGUGAUGAUCUUGUCUCAGCAGGGCUCCGCCCGAGCUCCGCAGAAACAAGAUCCAGAGGAAAAACUAUGAGGUAUGUGGUCGGGCAGCCGUGAGAAAGUCAUCUCAAAUCUGCCCUAAAAGCCCCAUAUAUAUAGGAGGAGGGAGGGGGACCUUGCCUUGGGGUCCAAGGGACUCCCAAGGGGUCGGCCGAGCCAAGGGGGGGAGGACUCCCCCCCCCCAAACCGAGUUGGACUUGGUUUGGUGGGAGGAGUCCCCCUCCCUUCCCACUUCUUCCCUCRUUUUUUUUUUCUUUUCCUUUGAUUUUCUUAUCUUGGCGCAUAGGCUCCCUUGGGGCUGUCCCACCAGCCCACUAAGGGCUGGUGUGUCCCCCAAAAGCCUAUGGGCUUCCCCGGAGUGGGUUGCCCCCCUCCGGUGAACUCCCGGAACCCAUUCGUCAUUCCCGAUACAUUCCCGGUAACUCCGAAAACCUUCCGAUAAUCAAAUGAGGUCAUCCUAUAUAUCAAUCUUCGUUUCCGAACCAUUCCGGAAACCCUCGUGACGUCCGUGAUCUCAUCCGGGACUCCGAACAACAUUCGGUAACCAACCAUAUAACUCAAAUACGCAUAAAACAACGUCGAACCUUAAGUGUGCAGACCCUGCGGGUUCGAGAACUAUGUAGACAUGACCCAAGAGACUCCUCGGUCAAUAUCCAAUAGCGGGACCUGGAUGCCCAUAUUGGAUCCUACAUAUUCUACGAAGAUCUUUAUCGUUUGAACCUCAGUGCCAAGGAUUCGUAUAAUCCCGUAUGUCAUUCCCUUUGUCCUUCGGUAUGUUACUUGCCCGAGAUUCGAUCGUCAGUAUCCGUAUACCUAUUUCAAUCUCGUUUACCGGCAAGUCUCUUUACUCGUUCCGUAAUACAAGAUCCCGCAACUUACACUAAGUUACAUUGCUUGCAAGGCUUGUGUGUGAUGUUGUAUUACCGAGUGGGCCCCGAGAUACCUCUCCGUCACACGGAGUGACAAAUCCCAGUCUUGAUCCAUACUAACUCAACUAACACCUUCGGAGAUACCUGUAGAGCAUCUUUAUAGUCACCCAGUUACGUUGCGACGUUUGAUACACACAAAGCAUUCCUCCGGUGUCAGUGAGUUAUAUGAUCUCAUGGUCAUAGGAAUAAAUACUUGACACGCAGAAAACAGUAGCAACAAAAUGACACGAUCAACAUGCUACGUCUAUUAGUUUGGGUCUAGUCCAUCACGUGAUUCUCCUAAUGACGUGAUCCAGUUAUCAAGCAACAACACCUUGUUCAUAAUCAGAAGACACUGACUAUCAUCGAUCAACUGGCUAGCCAACUAGAGGCAUGCUAGGGACGGUGUUUUGUCUAUGUAUCCACACAUGUAAAUGAGUCUUCAUUCAAUACAAUUAUAGCAUGGAUAAUAAACUAUUAUCUUGAUACAGGAAUUAUAAUAAUAAUUAUACAUUUAUUAUUGCCCCUAGGGCAUAAUUCCAACAAUCUCCCACUUGCACUAGAGUCAAUAAUCUAACCCUCACAUCACCAUGUGAAUUACAUUGUAAUAAAUCUAACACCCAUACAGUUCUGGUGUCGAUCAUGUUUUGGCCGUGGAAGAGGUUUAGUCAGCGGGUCUGCUACAUUCAGAUCCGUGUGCACUUUGCAUAUAUUUACGUCCUCCUCCUCGACGUAGUCGCGGAUGAGGUUGAAGCGUCGUUUGAUGUGUCUGGUCUUCUUGUGAAACCUUGGUUCCUUUGCUAAGGCAAUGGCACCAGUGUUGUCACAGAACAAGGGUAUUGGAUCCAGUGCACUUGGCACCACUCCAAGAUCCGUCAUGAACUGCUUCAUCCAGACACCCUCCUUAGCCGCCUCCGAGGCAGCCAUGUACUCCGCUUCACAUUUAGAAUCUGCUACGACGCUUUGCUUGGAACUGCACCAGCUUACUGCACCCCCAUUAAGAAUAAAUACUUAUCCGGUUUGCGACUUAGAGUCGUCCGGAUCUGUGUCAAAGCUUGCAUCGACGUAACCUUUUACGGCGAGCUCUUCGUCACCUCCAUACACGAGAAACAUCUCCUUAGUCCUUUUCAGGUACUUCAGGAUAUUCUUGACCGCCGUCCAGUGAUCCACUCCUGGAUUACUCUGGAACCUACCUGCCAUACUUAUGGCCAGGCUAACAUCCGGUCUAGUGCACAACAUUGCAUACAUGAUAGAGCCUACGGCUGAAGCAUAGGGGACGGAGCGCAUAUGCUCUCUAUCUUCAUCAGUUGCUGGGCACUGAGUCUUACUCAAUCUCCUACCUUGUAACACCGGCAAGAACCCUUUCUUGGACUGUUCCAUUUUGAACCUCUUCAAAACUUUAUCAAGGUAUGUGCUUUUUGAAAGUCCUAUCAGGCGUUUUGAUCUAUCCCUAUAGAUCUUAAUGCCUAGAAUGUAAGCAGCUUCUCCUAGGUCCUUCAUAGAGAAACUUUUAUUCAAGUAACCUUUUAUGCUCUCCAAAAGCUCUACGUUGUUUCCAAUCAGUAAUAUGUCAUCCACAUAUAAUAUUAGAAACGCCACAGAGCUCCCACUCACUUUCUUGUAAAUACAAGAUUCUCCAACCACUUGUAUAAACCCAAAUGCUUUGAUCACCUCAUCAAAGCGCUUGUUCCAACUCCGAGAUGCUUGCACCAGUCCAUAAAUGGAUCGCUGGAGCUUGCACACCUUGUCAGCAUUUUUAGGAUCGACAAAACCUUCGGGUUGCAUCAUAUACAACUCUUCCUUAAGGAAACCAUUAAGGAAUGCCGUUUUGACAUCCAUCUGCCAGAUUUCAUAAUCGAAAAAUGCAGCUAUUGCUAACAUGAUUCUGACGGACUUAAGCAUCGCUACGGGUGAGAAGGUCUCAUCGUAGUCAACUCCUGGAACUUGUGAAAAACCCUUUGCCACAAGUCGAGCUUUAUAAACGGUCACAUUACCGUCAGCGUCCGUCUUCUUCUUAAAGAUCCAUUUGUUCUGAAUAGCUUUGCGGCCUUCAGGUAGUAUCUCCAAAGUCCACACUUUGUUCUCAUACAUGGAUCCUAUCUCGGAUUUCAUGGCUUCUAGCCAUUUGUUGGAAUCUGGGCCCACCAUUGCUUCUUCAUAAUUUGCAGGUUCAUUGUUGUCUAACAACAUGAUUAACAAGACGGGAUUACCGUACCACUCUGGAGCAGCGCGUGAUCUCGUCGACCUGCGUGGUUCAACAGAAACUUGAACUGGAGUUUCAUGAUCAUCAUCAUUAACUUCCUCCUCAACCGGCGUCGCAACGACAGAGGUUUCCCCUUGCCCUGCGCCACCAUCCAGAGGGAUGAGAGGUUCGACAACCUCGUCAAGUUCUAUCUUCCUCCCACUCAAUUCUCUCGAGAGAAACUCCUUUUCGAGAAAAGUUCCGUUUUUAGCAACAAACACUUUGCCCUCGGAUUUGAGAUAGAAGGUGUACCCAACUGUCUCCUUUGGGUAACCUAUGAAGACGCACUUUUCCGCUUUGGGUUCCAGCUUUUCAGGCUGAAGCUUUUUGACAUAAGCAUCACAUCCCCAAACUUUAAGAAACGACAACUUUGGUCUUUUGCCAUACCACAGUUCGUAUGGUGUCGUCUCAACGGAUUUUGAUGGUGCCCUAUUUAAAGUGAAUGCAGCUGUUUCUAAUGCAUAACCCCAAAAUGAUAACGGCAAAUCAGUAAGAGACAUCAUAGAUCGCACCAUCUCUAACAAAGUACGAUUACGACGUUCGGACACACCAUUACACUGUGGUGUUCCAGGCGGUGUUAACUGCGAAACAAUUCCACAUUGUCUUAAGUGAGCACCAAACUCGAAACUCAGAUAUUCACCCCCACGAUCAGACCGUAGGAACUUGAUCUUCUUGUUACGAUGAUUUUCCACUUCACUCUGAAAUUGCUUGAACUUUUCAAAUGUUUCAGACUUGUGCUUCAUCAAGUAGACAUAACCAUAUCUACUUAAAUCGUCAGUGAAGGUGAGAAAAUAACGAUAUCCGCCGCGUGCCUCCACGCUCAUCGGACCACACACAUCGGUAUGUAUGAUUUCCAACAAGUCACUUGCACGCUCCAUUUUUCCGGAGAACGGAGUUUUAGUCAUCUUGCCCAUGAGGCAUGGUUCGCACGUGUCAAGUGAAUCAAAGUCAAGUGACUCCAAAAGUCCAUCAGCAUGGAGUUUCUUCAUGCGCUUUACACCAAUAUGACCCAAGCGGCAGUGCCACAAAAAUAUGGCGCUAUCAUUGUUUACUCUAACUAUUUUGGUCUCAAUGUUAUGUAUAUGCGUAUCGCUAUCGAGAUUCAAUAUGAACAAUCCUCUCACAUUCGGUGCAUGACCAUAAAAGAUGUUACUCAUAGAAAUAGAACAACCAUUAUUCUCAGACUUAAAAGAGUAACCGUCUCGCAAUAAACAAGAUCCAGAUAUAAUGUUCAUGCUCAAUGCAGGCACUAAAUAACAAUGAUUUAAGUUCAUCACUAAUCCCGAUGGUAGUUGAAGUGACACGGUGCCGACGGCGAUUGCAUCAACCUUGGAACCGUUUCCUACGCGCAUCGUCACUUCGUCUUUCGCCAGCCUUCGUCUAUUCCGCAGUUUCUGUUUCGAGUUGCAAAUGUGAGCAACAGAACCGGUAUCGAAUACCCAGGCACUACUACGAGAGCCGGUUAAGUACACAUCAAUAACAUGUAUAUCAAAUAUACCUGAUUUUUCUUUGCCCGCCUUCUUAUCUGCCAGAUAAUUGGGGCAAUUGCGCUUCCAGUGACCCAUACCCUUGCAAUAGAAGCACUCUGUUUCAGGCUUAGGUCCAGCCUUGGGUUUCUUCGGCGGAUUGGCAACAGGCUUGCCGCUCUUCUUCGAAUUGCCCUUCUUGCCUUUGCCGUUUCUCUUGAAACUAGUGGUCUUGCUCACCAUCAACACUUGAUGCUCUUUACGGAGUUCAGACUCUGCGACUUUCAGCAUCGCAAACAACUCGCCGGGAGACUUGUUCAUCCCUUGCAUGUUGUAGUUCAACACAAAGCCUUUAUAGUUUGGCGGCAGUGAUUGGAGGAUUCUGUCAGUGAUAGCUUCUUGCGGGAGUUCAAUCCCCAGUUCAGCUAGACGGUUUGAGUACCCAGACAUUUUGAGCACAUGUUCACUGACAGACGAGUUUUCCUCCAUCUUGCAAGCAUAGAAUUUAUCGGAGGUCUCAUACCUCUCGAUCCGGGCGUUCUUCUGAAAGAUAAACUUCAACUCCUGGAACAUCUCAAAUGCUCCAUGACGCUCAAAGCGACGUUGAAGUCCCGGCUCUAAGCCAUACAAGACUGCACAUUGAACUAUUGAGUAGUCCUCCUUACGUGCUAACCAAGCGUUCUUAACAUCCUGAUCAGCCGUAGCGGGCGGUUCAUCUCCUAGCGCAGCAUUAAGGACAUAAUCCUUCUUUCCAGCUUGUAAGAUUAGCUUAAGAUUACGAGCCCAGUCUACAAAGUUGCUUCCAUCAUCUUUCAACUUAGCUUUCUCUAGGAACGUAUUAAAAUUCAGGAUGACACUUGCGUGAGCCAUGAUCUACAACACAAAUAUAUUCAAAGUGGACUUAGACUAUGUUCAAGAUAAUUAGAGUUCAACUUAAUCAAAUUAUAUGCUAAACUCCCACUCAAAAAAUACACCUCUCUAGUCAUUUGAGUGGUUCAUGAUCCACUUACACUAUCCCAAGUCCGAUCAUCACGUGAGUAGAGAGUAGUUUCAGUGGUAAGCAUCCCUAUGCUAAUCAUAUCAACUAUAUGAUUCAUGAUCGACCUUUCGGUCUCAUGUGUUCCGAGGCCAUGUCUGCACAUGCUAGGCUCGUCAAGCUUAACCCGAGUGUUCCGCGUGCGCAACUGUUUUGCACCCGUUGUAUGUGAACGUUGAGUCUAUCACACCCGAUCAUCACGUGGUGUCUCGAAACGACGAACUGUAGCAACGGUGCACAGUCGGGGAGAACACAAUUUCGUCUUGAAAUUUUAGUGAGAGAUCACCUCAUAAUGCUACCGUCGUUCUAAGCAAAAUAAGGUGCAUAAAAGGAUUAACAUCACAUGCAAUUCAUAAGUGACAUGAUAUGGCCAUCAUCACGUGCUUCUUGAUCUCCAUCACCAAAGCACCGGCACGAUCUUCUUGUCACCGGCGCCACACCAUGAUCAUCCAUCAACGUGUUGCCAUCGGGGUUGUCGUGCUACUUAUGCUAUUACUACUAAAGCUACAUCCUAGCAAAAUAGUAAACGCAUCUGCAAGCACAAAUAUGUUAGUAUAAAGACAACCCUAUGGCUCCUGCCGGUUGCCGUACCAUCGACGUGCAAGUCGAUAUUUCUAUUACAACAUGAUCAUCUCAUACAUCCAAUAUAUCACAUCACAUCAUUGGCCAUAUCACAUCACAAUCAUACCCUGCAAAAACAAGUUAGACGUCCUCUAAUUUUGUUGUUGCAAGUUUUACGUGGUGACCAAGGGUAUCUAGUAGGAUCGCAUCUUACUUACGCAAACACCACAACGGAGAUAUAUGAGUUGCUAUUUAACCUCAUCCAAGGACCUCCUCGGUCAAAUCCGAUUCAACUAAAGUUGGAGAAACCGUCACUUGCCAGUCAUCUUUGAGCAAAGGGGGUUACUCGUAACGAUGAAACCAGUCUCUCGUAAGCGUACGAGUAAUGUCGGUCCAAGCCGCUUCAAUCCAAUAAUACCGCGGAAUCAAGAAAAGACUAAGGAGGGCAGCAAAACGCACAUCACCGCCCACAAAACCUUUUGUUUCUACUCGAGAAGACAUCUACGCAUGAACCUAGCUCUGAUACCACUGUUGGGAACGUCGCAUGGGAAACAAAAAAUUUCCUACGCGCACGAAGACCUAUCAUGGUGAUGUCCAUCUACGAGAGGGGAUGAGUGAUCUACGUACCCUUGUAGAUCGUACAACAGAAGCGUUAGAGAACGCGGUUGAUGUAGUGGAACGUCCUCACAUCCCUUGAUCCGCCCCGCGAACAAUCCCGCGAUCAGUCCCACGAUCUUGUACCGAACGGACGGCACCUCCGCGUUCAGCACACGUACAGCUCGACGAUGAUCUCGGCCUUCUUGAUCCAGCAAGAGAGGCGGAGAGGUAGAAGAGUUCUCCGGCAGCGUGACGGCGCUCCGGAGGUUGGUGAUGAUCUUGUCUCAGCAGGGCUCCGCCCGAGCUCCGCAGAAACAAGAUCCAGAGGAAAAACUAUGAGGUAUGUGGUCGGGCAGCCGUGAGAAAGUCAUCUCAAAUCUGCCCUAAAAGCCCCAUAUAUAUAGGAGGAGGGAGGGGGACCUUGCCUUGGGGUCCAAGGGACUCCCAAGGGGUCGGCCGAGCCAAGGGGGGGAGGACCUCCCCCCCCAAACCGAGUUGGACUUGGUUUGGUGGGAGGAGUCCCCCUCCCUUCCCACUUCUUCCCUCUUUUUUUUUUCUUUUCCUUUGAUUUUCUUAUCUUGGCGCAUAGGCUCCCUUGGGGCUGUCCCACCAGCCCACUAAGGGCUGGUGUGUCCCCCAAAAGCCUAUGGGCUUCCCCGGAGUGGGUUGCCCCCCUCCGGUGAACUCCCGGAACCCAUUCGUCAUUCCCGAUACAUUCCCGGUAACUCCGAAAACCUUCCGAUAAUCAAAUGAGGUCAUCCUAUAUAUCAAUCUUCGUUUCCGAACCAUUCCGGAAACCCUCGUGACAUCCGUGAUCUCAUCCGGGACUCCGAACAACAUUCGGUAACCAACCAUAUAACUCAAAUACGCAUAAAACAACGUCGAACCUUAAGUGUGCAGACCCUGCGGGUUCGAGAACUAUGUAGACAUGACCCAAGAGACUCCUCGGUCAAUAUCCAAUAGCGGGACCUGGAUGCCCAUAUUGGAUCCUACAUAUUCUACGAAGAUCUUUAUCGUUUGAACCUCAGUGCCAAGGAUUCGUAUAAUCCCGUAUGUCAUUCCCUUUGUCCUUCGGUAUGUUACUUGCCCGAGAUUCGAUCGUCAGUAUCCGUAUACCUAUUUCAAUCUCGUUUACCGGCAAGUCUCUUUACUCGUUCCGUAAUACAAGAUCCCGCAACUUACACUAAGUUACAUUGCUUGCAAGGCUUGUGUGUGAUGUUGUAUUACCGAGUGGGCCCCGAGAUACCUCUCCGUCACACGGAGUGACAAAUCCCAGUCUUGAUCCAUACUAACUCAACUAACACCUUCGGAGAUACCUGUAGAGCAUCUUUAUAGUCACCCAGUUACGUUGCGACGUUUGAUACACACAAAGCAUUCCUCCGGUGUCAGUGAGUUAUAUGAUCUCAUGGUCAUAGGAAUAAAUACUUGACACGCAGAAAACAGUAGCAACAAAAUGACACGAUCAACAUGCUACGUCUAUUAGUUUGGGUCUAGUCCAUCACGUGAUUCUCCUAAUGACGUGAUCCAGUUAUCAAGCAACAACACCUUGUUCAUAAUCAGAAGACACUGACUAUCAUCGAUCAACUGGCUAGCCAACUAGAGGCAUGCUAGGGACGGUGUUUUGUCUAUGUAUCCACACAUGUAAAUGAGUCUUCAUUCAAUACAAUUAUAGCAUGGAUAAUAAACUAUACAUUUAUUAUUGCCUCUAGGGCAUAAUUCCAACAUGAGUAUGACUCUGACUGGAUCUUCUUUGCCAUGAAUUACAAUGUUUAGUCAGCCCUUGGUCUUUGAAGGUGCUCUGCAUUUAUGUUUUGCGGUCACAGAAAGAGCUAGCGAGAUACCAUCUGUUCGUACUGCUUCAUGAUUGUUUUGAUUGAAGUGCUCACGUUUGAGACUUAUUAUUAUUUUCUCGCUAGUUGAUUAUGCCAUUGAUAUGAGUUUACCGUGAGACCUAGAUGUCAUUUGCUUAUGCGGUUAGCUUGUGAUCUUGCUAAAAUUCUGGAUAUGAGUUAGACAUAGUUGCAACAACAAGAUCAAACAAAGUUCAUAAAAGUUUUUCUUUUGUCUCUUUCAGUUUGUCAACUAAAUUGCUUGAGGACAAGCAAGGUUUUAAGCUUGGGGGAGUUGAUACGUCUCCGUCGUAUCUACUUUUCCGAACUCUUUUGCCCUUGUUUUGGACUCUAAUUUGCAUGAUUUGAAUGGAACUAACCCGGACAAACACUGUUUUCAGCAGAAUUGCCAUGGUGUUGUUUUUGCACAGAAAUAAAAGUUCUCGGAAUGACCUGAAAAUUUACAGAGAAUUUUUGUGGAAUAUAUAGAAAAUACUGGCGCAAGAAUCAGCGGAGGAAGUGGAGCAUGGAGCCCACAAGCCCACCAGGCGCGGGCCCCCUGGCCGCGCCUGGCAGGCUUGUGGGGCCCACAAAACUCCACCGCCUCCAAAUCCAGCUCUAUUUAGUCCGUUUCGCCCGGAAAAAAAAUCAAGGAGAAGAGUUCAUCGCAUUUUACGAUACGGAGGCGCCGCCACCUCCUGUUCUUCAUCUGGAGGGCAGAUCCGGAGUCUGUUCUCGGCUCCGAAGAGGGGAGAUCGUCGCCAUGGUCAUCACCAACCUUCCUUCAUCGCCAAUUCCAUGAUGCUCUUCACCGUUCGUGACUAAUCUCAUCGUAGGCUUGCUGGACGGUGAUGGGUUGGAUGAGAUCUAUCAUGUAAUCGAGUUAGUUUUGACGGGGAUUGAUCCCUAGUAUCCACUAUGUUCUGAGAUUGAUGUUGCUACUACUUUGCCAUGCUUAAUGCUUCUCACUAGGGCCCGAGUGCCAUGAUUUCAGAUCUGAACCUAUUAUUUUGUCGCCAAUAUAUGUGAGUUCUUGAUCCUAUCUUGCAAGUUGUAGUCACCUACUAUGUGUUAUGACCCGGCAACCCCGGAGUGACAAUAGCCGGAACCACUCCCGAAGAUGACCAUAGUAUGAGGAGUUCAUGUAUUCACCAAGUGUUAAUGCGUUGGUCCGGUUCUUUAUUAAAAGGAGAACCUUAAUAUCUCGUAGUUUCCAUUAGGACCCCGCUGCCACGGGAGGGAUGGACAAUAGAUGUCAUGCAAGUUCUUUUUCCUAAGCACGUAUGACUAAAUACGGAAUACAUGCCUACAUUACAUUGACGAACUGGAGCUAGUUACAUAUCUCUCCGUGUUAUAACUGUUGCAUGAUGAACAGCAUCCGGCAUAAUCAUCCAUCACCAAUCCAAUGCCUACGAGUCUUUUACUACUGGUCCUUGCUACGUUACUUUGCUGCUACUGUUGUCACUGCUGCUACUGUUACUCUGUUGCUACUGCUGUUACUUUGCUGCUACUGCUGUCACUUUGCUGCUACUGGUUACUGUUGCUACUGCUCCUAUCAUACUACCUUGCUAUUGAUACUUUGCUGCAGAUACUAAAUCUUUCAGGUGUGGUUGAAUUGACAAUUCAAUUGUUAAUACUUGAGAAUAUUCUUUGGCUUCCCCUUGAGUCGAAUCUAUAAAUUUGGGUUGAAUACUCUACCCUCGAAAACUGUUGCGAUCCCCUAUACUUGUGGGUUAUCACCACCGGUUUCAAAACAUAAAGGGACGGGAAUGAGGAGGGGGUGAGGGAGGGGGGCUAGCCUGUGGCUGGAUAAGUCAUAGUGUGGCGCCUAAGCGCUCGGCACCACACUGUAGAGGGUGCGACGCCUGAGGCUUAGGCGUCGCACUACCUGAGGGUGGGGCCAGCUGCGCCAGCGUGGCCAGGUGUGUGCCGCCGACGUUUUAGGCAUCACACAGUGUAGUGUGGUGCCUAGGUGUCGGAUGCCACACGAAUGGGUCAGUCGGGUGAAUAUUUUUUCAUUCGGGUUCACUUUGUAAGUUCUUUCGCUCCAGAGGUCAAUUUUAUUAAUUUUGCCGGCAUGGAUGGACCUGAUGAAGGAGCACUGCUGUCUACUGUAGUAGUUAUGCAUGGUGAAAUGGUGUGUGCGUUUGUGUUCCGUUUUCAAUUGCCAUCGAGAAUAAGACGGGAUCUAUCGUAUCGAGCUAGCUAGUUAAUAGCUUAUGUGUAGCCCUUGUUGCUUGUACCGUGUGGUGUGCAAGGCUUCUUGUGUUUGUGAUGCGCCUUCCCUACUGUUCUAGUAGUUCCGUCCUGAUGUGCCUUCCCCGUCUUAUCUACAUCUACAUAUUAAUUUGGCGUUUCUGUCUGUGUGACUGCAUGUGUGGUGCCAGCUCUUGAUUUUCCUCUCUGUUAAGUUGGAUUAUAGGACUCGACUCACUGCUUGUAUUCACAUCUCAUGGGGUAUUUAUAUAACAGAGGUACAAGGGGAGUGAGAGAGAGAACGUGUACAACGGCUGGCCGAGCAUGCCGCGCAUGCGAGGAGAGCGUGCGCACGAAGCGCACUUGCUGGUGAUCGAGCCGAAGGAAUCGGUCAAGGCCGUUGGCCCUCUGGCGCUGCUCGUGCAGGUGACUUCCAACAGGCCCCCGUAGCCGAAACGUGGAAUUCCCGAAUGUUGUGGUUGGACCGGAAGUCGAGGAAGAGGCUCGUCGGCAGCCCCUUAGUGAAGAUGUCGGCAAACUAAGAGCUCAUGGGGACAUGAAGAACGCGCACCUCGCCGAGCGACACACGCUCACGAACGAAGUGCAAGUCAAUCUCCACGUGCUUCCUGCGCUGGCGCUGCACCGGGUUCGACGACAUGUACGUGGCACUCACGUUGUCGCAGUACACCACCGUAGCACGCGCGGGAGCCUGGCGGAGUUCGCCAAGCAGUUGGCGCAACCAGACGAUCUCCGCAACGGCGUGCACAACGGCGCGGUACUCUGCCUCCGCGCUAGAGCACGAGAUGGUGUGUUGUCGCUUCGAGGACCACGAAGGUUGCCGCCGAGGAAGACGCAAUACCCGGAGGUGGAGCGACGAGUGUCGGGGCACCCCGCCCAGUCGGCAUCGGAGUAAGCAACGAGCUCGGUGGAGGUGGACUGGUGAAACUGCAAGACAAGAUGUGUGGUGCCACGAAGAUAGCGCAGGAUGCGCUUAAGCAGCUGGUAGUGCGAGUCACGCGGAGCGUGCAUGAAGAGACAACACUGCUGAACACCAUAGGACAAGUCAGGCCGAGUGAGAGUGAUGUACUGGAGGACACCGACGAGGCUUCGAUACAGAGAUGGAUCAUGAAAUAGAGGCCCUGUGUCAGCUGGUAGUUUGCCAUGCGUGUCGAUAGGCGUGGAUAUGGGCUUGCAAUUGAGCAUGCCGGCGCGAUCGAGGAUCUCAAGUGCAUACUACUCCUGGGAGAGGAAUACACCAGUGGUGGUUGAGGUGACAUUGAUGCCGAGGAAGUGGUGCAAUGGGCCAAGAUCCGAGAUGGAGAAUUCUCGAUGGAGCGAAGAGAUGAUGGAGUGGAGCAGAGAGGUGGUGCUGGCGGUGAGGAUGAUAUCAUCAACAUAUAACAGCAGAUAGGCGAGCUGCGGACCACGACGAAGUAUGAACAACGAGGAGUCGGACCGAGACGCCACGAAGCCGAGUUGGAGCAGGUACGUGGUGAACCGGGAGAACCACGCGCGCGGUGCUUGCUUCAGCCCGUAGAGCGAGCGGUUCAAGCGGCAGACGCUCGUGGAGGCGGUGGCGUCCACGAAGCCGGAGGGCUGCUGAGAGUACACCGUCUCGGCGAGGUGACCGUGCAAGAAAGCAUUCUUGACGUCGAGCUGGUGGAUUGGCCAAGAACGCCCGGCGACGAGGCUGAGGACGGUGAGGAUCGUCGCCGGCUUGACCACAUGACUGAACGUCUCGCCGUAGUCGAUGCCGGCCUGCUAGUUGAAGCCAUGGAGCACCCAGCGGGCGUUGUAGCGCGCCAGGGAGGCAUCAGGAUGGUACUUGUGGCGGUAGAUCCACUUGCCGCUGACCACGUUAGAACCUGCAGGACGAGCAACCAAAUCCCAAGUGUUAUUAUGCAAAAGCGCGUUGUAUUCUUCUAACAUUGCAUGGUGCCAGUUCGGAUCUUUCAGAGCUGCGCGGUAUGAGGAGGGAAUGGGGCUGAUCGUGGAGGUGGAGGCUCAGCUGGUGUUUGGGAAGGUGAAACCCAUAUUUUGCACGAGUACGCAUGCCGUGCAUGUUGGCCGGAGGAGCGACGGGAAUAGCCCUGGCCGGCAUGCAGGGAAUGGGGGCGGAUGGCGCGUCUGGCAAGGUGGGCGGGCCCGCGGCGGCAGGAAUGUCGGGUGUGGGGGAAGCGGCGGGUGCAGAUCCCGCGUCGUGGGCGCGUGGGGAUGCUAGGCGCGCAGCGCCAGGAGGCGAGCGAGGGGUGGUGGGUGGGUUGUUGGGCGCGGAUCCCGCGGGAGUUAGGAUAGUUGGUAAGUGGGGGUAGGCGCGAUGGGUGGCUGCGGCGCGAUUGGCGGCGCUGGCACUCGACGAGGUAGGUGCGCACUGCGCAGGUGGGAUUAGGUGGUUGGGAUCUUCUGCGGAUGUGGACGCUCGUGGGAAUGGUGCAGUUGACUCGACAAAUGGAUAGACCCCCUCGUCAAAAACAACAUGCCGGGAGAUGAUCACCUUCCGAGUUUGCAAAUCGAGACAACGGUAUCCCUUGUGCUCGAGUGGAUACCUGAUGAAAACGCAAGGAACAGAACGAGGGGAGAGUUUGUGUUCGGUGGUGGGGUAGACAUUGGGAAAACACAGGCAUCCAAAAACCAGGAGAUGAUCGUAUGUGGGAUGUUUGCCGUACAAGCAAAGGAAGGGCAUGUUGUUCUGGAUGGCGGAGGAAGGGCGCCGGUUGAGAAGGUGUGUGCCGUAUGAAAGCUUCGACCCAAAAGUUGGGGGGGGGAGAUGAGCGUGGAGGAGAAAGGGUGCGGAGCACGUCAUUUGUUGUGCGGAUCAUGCGUCCAACCUUACCGUUUUGCGGCGAGGUGUAUGGGCAUGAAAGGCGCAGAGAGGAGCCACGAGAGGAAAGGAAAUUACGUAGCCCGGUGGUGAGAAACUCGCCGCCGUUAUCGCAUCGUAUGCAUUUGGUGGUUGUAAGAAAUUGGGUGGCUACAUACGCGAAAAACCGGAGCAACGUGACAGACGUAUCAUAUUUGGCGCGCAAAGGAAACGUCCACGAAAAAUGGGUGAAGUCAUCAAGGAUGACGGGGUAAUAGAGGUAACCGGAGGAACUAGCAACAGACGACGUCCAGAGAUCACAGUGAAUAAGAUCAAAGGCAGCAACAAUGCAUGUACGGGAGGAAGGAAAUGGUAAUCUUGAUUGCUUGCCAAAUUGGCAGGAUUCACAAAUAUGGGAACUGAAACUAUUCUAAUUACGUGGUGAUUGAAGAAAAGUUUUUGCUAAAACGGAAAGGGAACUGUUGCUAAGAUCCCUGAGGCGUUGGUGCCACAAGCUGCCGUCGACGGAGAGGAUCUGUUGCACCGGGCCGGAGCUAAAGAAAGGGUACAAAUCUCCAUGGCUACUGGACGUCAUUAGGAUUCGUGGGGUUUUGAGGUCCUUCACAACAAAACCGAAAGGAUUAAACUCAAUGGUGCAAGAAUUUUCACGAGUAAAACGACGGACAUAGAUCAAUUUUUUUAUGAUUGUGGGAGAGACAAGGACGUCGGAGAGAGAGAAAUCGCCGAGGUGAGUGGAACCGGCCGCAACAACGCGGAUCCGAGAGCCAUCACCAACGACAAUGCUAGAAGAAGAACGCGUGAUCUCCUCAAGGAGUAGGCGUGACCGGGCCUGAGCGAAGUUGGGGAACGGAACCUGCAUAGGAAGGACCGUCGCGAGCACGUGGAAUCGACGAAUGAGCCCAUGGAUGAACUGGAGCGUCAGGGUGCGGUCGGUGACGGGCUCCUCGACGUCGGUGAGCGCGGCUGCCAGUGACUGGAGGCGGCGGGCGUAUUCAGCCACAUGCAGGUCACCUUGCACCAUGCUUCGGAAUUCGGCGGAGAGAUGGAUCGCGCGGUCGGCUUGGUUGUCGAGGAAGAAGAGCCGGAGGGUCUGCCAGAUCUGGUACGCCGUGGGGAUGUUCGGAGGAGAGAUGACGACGUCAUACAUCUCAUUAGAAAUCAUGGAGGAUAUCCACAAAAUGAUGGUGAUGUCGUCGUUUCAACACACGGCGUCCUCGUGGAGGGGGUCCCGGUCUUGAUCUACAUGCUGUUGCGCAUUGUACUUGCUGAGGAUGCAAUAGAAGAGGUGGCGCCAUUUGGAGUAGUUACCGGCGGCGAGGUCGAGCUUGAACCGCAGGAAGUGCGUGAUGGUGAGAGGGAGAUCGUCGGCCGACGCCGGUGCCGGCGCCUGCGCACCGACGACGUCGAGGCAGGGGACAAGAUCGCGGCCGACGCCGCAGUGAAGAGGAGCCGCAACAGGGGCUGCCGGGACAGCUGCGGGCGCCGGAGCAUGAGGAAGGAGUCCCGCACCGGGAGCUGCAGGAGCGGGUGGGACGGCAACGAGAGGAGCUAAAGGAGGGAGGUUGGCUGCAGCGUCGAGGUCAGCCGAGCGAGAGCGGCGGAGCAGGCGAUGCAUGGCAGAAGCGUGGUGGUGGGAUCGGAACUGCUCGGGUACCAAGUUGGAUUGUAGGACUCGACUCACUGCUUGUAUUCACAUCUCAUGAAGUAUUUAUAUAACAGAGAUACAAGGGGAGUGAGAGAGAGAACGUGUACAACGGCUGGCCGGGCAUGCCGUGCAUGCGAGGAGAGCGUGUGCACGAAGCGCACUCGCUGGUGAUUGAGCCGAAGGAAUCGGUCAAGGCCAUUGGCCCUCUCGCGCUGCUCGUGCAGGUGACUUCCAACAUGUUGUUCUUGUACAAGUUAAUGGCGAUACCAAAUCAAACUUUCCCCCUCCAGUUAUACCAAUGCUUAUGCGUUAGUGUCCUCUAAUCAGUCCCAAAGUAAUAGACAUCGUAACAAUAUAAUAAGAACUUUGUAACUAUAGAGGCAAUGCAUGGCAAAAUGCCCUCUUAGCAGCUCGGGUAGAUAAAAAAUUAUAUGUCAUGCCAAAGGGACGGUCUCGAUGUUUUUUUCUUCUUCUUUUGGAAACGGAGGAUGGUGCAGAUUUGAUACCAGCCAUUUGAAGCUGUUUUAGUGAAAUUUUCAAUCUGUUUUGGUUGGAGCCAGUUCAAACUAUGUGGAUAUCCGUUUUAACAAUAGGACACGACACGGUCAUGGGAGUCUUUAUUUGUGCAUUCAAGAUUACUGCAAUUCAUUUAUUUUCAUACAAUGUGCAGGCCAGGGAUAUCUCAUCAACAAAAGGGAAUCGUUUCCCAUCCGCGCGCCGGCCGAACCGACGCGCCGGUUGCUCCCUCGCACGCGCGGGCUCUUGCAACAUUUUUUUCACCCGCGCGUUUCUCUGGUCAAUGGAUGCAGCAUUUUUUGUCUAAAUAUGUUGCAACCAGCGUCUUUUUUGCUGCAAGCGUUUUUUUAUUAUUUUUUGUCCCAGUAAAAAAGCUGCAUAUACGUUUGGUUGCAACUCCAGUUCGUCGGAUUUUUCGUUACAAUCGAUGUUUUUUACUUUUUGCUACAAUCGUGUUAAUUUUUGCUACAACCGACAUCAUGUUUUGCUGCAACUGUUUACUAAUAAAAUUGCAUACACGUCACUUAAAUAUUUUUACAACCGGCAUUUGACUUUUGCUACCACGUACCAUCAGCUUUGUUUUUUUGCUACGAUCACGUAGAUAUUUUUUUUGCUACAAAUUUUAUUUUUUAUUGCAACCGUUGAAAAAAUUGCUGCAUUGCAUCGAAAUUUUGCUGCAUAAGGGAAAAAAUGUUGCAUGCGGAACAAACAAUGCGGACGACGCGGGGUUGGCGGAUCCUGCGGCUCGCGCGCGGCCGACCGAAAGUUUGGGCCGGCGCAGAUCAGUCCCCUAAAGAAAAAAGUUAACAUAAGGUUGAUGAAAGUAAAAUUGUGUACGAAAAACAUAGCGAUAUAUAUUGUGGUCCGAGGUUAUAAACUGUUGUCGACACCGAGGACAUUGCUUGUGCAGAAACUACAUAGUUACUCGAAUCCUUUUGAAGCCACUGAUUGCUGUCAUUAUUUCCACAGCCACAUUGCAUAUAAAUUUUUUUAAUUUAAAGUACUGUGGCUGCUGGGAUUCGAGCCCAGGUCUCCACGGCCACAACGGGGAAAAAAUGUUGCAUGCGGAUCCAACAAUGCGGACGACGCGGGGUUGGCGGAUCCUGCGGCUCGCGCGCGGCCGACCGAAAGUUUGGGCCGGCGCAGAUCAGUCCCCUAAAGAAAAAAGUUAACAUAAGGUUGAUGAAAGUAAAAUUGUGUACGAAAAACAUAGCGAUAUAUAUUGUGGUCCGAGGUUAUAAACUGUUGUCGACACCGAGGACAUUGCUUGUGCAGAAACUACAUAGUUACUCGAAUCCUUUUGAAGCCACUGAUUGCUGUCAUUAUUUCCACAGCCACAUUGCAUAUAAAUUUUUUUAAAAAGUACUGUGGCUGCUGGGAUUCGAGCCCAGGUCUCCACGGCCACAACGGGGAAAAAAUGUUGCAUGCGGAUCCAACAAUGCGGACGACGCGGGGUUGGCGGAUCCUGCGGCUCGCGCGCGGCCGACCGAAAGUUUGGGCCGGCGCAGAUCAGUCCCCUAAAGAAAAAAGUUAACAUAAGGUUGAUGAAAGUAAAAUUGUGUACGAAAAACAUAGCGAUAUAUAUUGUGGUCCGAGGUUAUAAACUGUUGUCGACACCGAGGACAUUGCUUGUGCAGAAACUACAUAGUUACUCGAAUCCUUUUGAAGCCACUGAUUGCUGUCAUUAUUUCCACAGCCACAUUGCAUAUAAUUUUUUUUUAAAAGUACUGUGGCUGCUGGGAUUCGAGCCCAGGUCUCCACGGCCACAACGGGGAAAAAAUGUUGCAUGCGGAUCCAACAAUGCGGACGACGCGGGGUUGGCGGAUCCUGCGGCUCGCGCGCGGCCGACCGAAAGUUUGGGCCGGCGCAGAUCAGUCCCCUAAAGAAAAAAGUUAACAUAAGGUUGAUGAAAGUAAAAUUGUGUACGAAAAACAUAGCGAUAUAUAUUGUGGUCCGAGGUUAUAAACUCCGUUUAGUUCCCCCGUACGUACCGGUAGGGACCCUUAGGUUCGACGUUCGUCACGGGCUAAAGUACACGAGUUUACUCGAAUCCUUUUGAAGCCACUGAUUGCUGUCAUUAUUUCCACAGCCACAUUGCAUAUWAAWUUUUUUUAAAAGUUACUGUGGCUGCUGGGAUUCGAGCCCAGGUCUCCACGGCCACAACGGGGAAAAAAUGUUGCAUGCGGAUCCAACAAUGCGGACGACGCGGGGUUGGCGGAUCCUGCGGCUCGCGCGCGGCCGACCGAAAGUUUGGGCCGGCGCAGAUCAGUCCCCUAAAGAAAAAAGUUAACAUAAGGUUGAUGAAAGUAAAAUUGUGUACGAAAAACAUAGCGAUAUAUAUUGUGGUCCGAGGUUAUAAACUGUUGUCGACACCGAGGACAUUGCUUGUGCAGAAACUACAUAGUUACUCGAAUCCUUUUGAAGCCACUGAUUGCUGUCAUUAUUUCCACAGCCACAUUGCAUAUAAAUUUUUUUUAAAAAUACUGUGGCUGCUGGGAUUCGAGCCCAGGUCUCCACGGCCACAACGUGGAAUUCNNNNNNNNNNNNNNNNNNNNNNNNNNNNNNNNNNNNNNNNNNNNNNNNNNNNNNNNNNNNNNNNNNNNNNNNNNNNNNNNNNNNNNNNNNNNNNNNNNNNUAGUCCACCAAGCAUCAGGAUUCGUGUAGUCCGGCUCCGAUGUUAGUCGGUUGGAGCAAAAAGGGUCGCUGGUUGUAGCUUUCGCUUCAACCAGUUCCAGCGAAAACCAACUGCCAAUUUCAAAUCGUCAUCACGUUGCCCCCAGUACAACCAACGAAGCACCCCCGUCACUGCUCCAAAGCAUCAUGAUCACCGGUUGCAAUGCAUCCAACCUCAUCGGUUCCAACACUGCGUCUUAAUUGGUUUUCCCUCCUACGACAUGGGGGUCGCGACAACACUACGAGUGAGCAGCGGAAUGCGUGCCCAUGGUGAGGAGGAAGGGUAUGAAGGAGAAACAAGAGGGGGGGGGAGGAUGUGCGGCGGUGGAUCUCGUUGGGAAUUUUGGAUGCAGCGGUGUUCACUCGCCGGUUUACAACCCCAUGAGGGCGAAGUUGCCGGGGUGAAGGCGGGGAACGGUGGAUCGCGCCGCGAAGUGGAGAAGAAGUGGUGCAUGUGUGUUUGUGUGUGUGGGGGAAGGGGGGGCACACCUAUAUGACGAGCGCAACACGUGUGACAUGCAUGGCGACUAGGCGAAACCUUAAGCCGGUGAGUUGUAAGGGAUCAUUUACCUUUUUUGAGAUAAAGAAAGAGGAAUAGAUGUGGGCUUAAGGGAAAGCCAUGUGGGUGCUAGCACAGCUCACUAUCCAGAGGAGGGCAAACUACACAAACCGAACGCGCAUGAAGACACCAAGCUCAUCUAAAAAAGGACCCUUUUGCGACGAACGUUCGUCAAGACGACCCUUUUGCGACGAACGUUCGUCAGGACGAGCUGACAUUUGCGAAUGAUUUCGCUGACAUUUGUAGUUAUAGUGGACGGGAAUUUUUGUCACAGAAGUCAUUUUUUAUUUAAAACUACCAUGGUUUGAUCUUGUCUUAAAACUAAAACCGUCAUAAGAUGGGUUUGUUUGCCACGCUUCUCCCAGAUAACGGUUGCUAUAUACUAGGAUUUUCGUUCGAGAGCGGAAGAAAUCGAUCGAUGGGUCGACCAAAUUUCCCCAAUAUUCCCCUCGAACAAAUAAGUUUCCCAAAUAUGUCCAAAUCCCUAGCGGCGGCCGCUGGUCUCUCCGGUCUCCACUCCACCCGCGCUCGCCGGCGCUGCCAGCCCGCCACCCCUUGACCUCGACGGGCCACGGCUCCGCCUGCCUACCUGCCCACGCCGCCGCUCGUCUCUCCACCCGUGCACGCCGGCCCCGCCGCUCCCUGCCUCCCUGUUCGGCUGCUCAGGGGAGGAGGCAGAGGAAGCGGCCAGCCGCACACGGUCAGGCGACAGAGGCAGUUUCCAGCAGCAGCAGCAGGUCUUUCCCCCCUGCACUUCCCGCUCUUCUAUGUGUACAAUCUUUCUGUGCCACACAGCCACACCUUGUCUGAAUUUCAUGGCUUGUAAGGUGUAAUAGUAGAAAACACCACGGAAGCCUAAUCCCGAAGUUUUUGCUUUCGUCGCACAAAUGUAGUAGUGUCUACUUCAAUUUUGUGGAAUUACUAUCUGCUUUGAUGUUGUAUUGCUGCGGUCUCGUGGAGUACCUACUUUGAUUUGAUCUGCAAUACACCUUUUUGAAUUGUGGGUAGCUGCCUAUGGGUGACGGGUGACGANNNNNNNNNNNNNNNNNNNNNNNNNNNNNNNNNNNNNNNNNNNNNNNNNNNNNNNNNNNNNNNNNNNNNNNNNNNNNNNNNNNNNNNNNNNNNNNNNNNNACCAAGGUGGUGUCGGCGACGGAACGGCGUGGGCGAUCGACGGUGAUGAGGACGGGGACAAGAAGGCACCAAGUAAACCACACCUACACAUAUGCAAACUAAGAAGUUAAUUUAAGCUCAAAUUGCAUAUAAAUCAAAUAAAACUCUUACAUAAUUACUCCCAAACUAAAACCCACAAAUCACUAUAUUUAUAGAGCAUGAAAUGAGCUAAACUAGCGAUUAGAUGAAAGGGUGUAGUUGCUAACCUUUUAGAACACUUGGAUAGAUGGGAUGCCUUCAAUCUUGACAAAUCUUUGUAAAAAUGGAGGAUUAACUCUAGUUUGGGGACGGAAAUGGAGAGGAGAGAAAUAUUGAAUUCGGGCUGGAAGAGGAGAGCUUUAUAUAGAGAGAAGCCUUUAGUCCCGGUUGGUAUCACCAACGGGACUAAAUUUGUAGUCCCSGGUUGGUGAUACCAACCGGGACUAAAGCCCCCAUUUGAACCGGGACUAAAGAUUGUCGUGACCCCCGUCCACUCCUAGNNNNNNNNNNNNNNNNNNNNNNNNNNNNNNNNNNNNNNNNNNNNNNNNNNNNNNNNNNNNNNNNNNNNNNNNNNNNNNNNNNNNNNNNNNNNNNNNNNNNUAAAAAAAUUUAUAUGCAAUGUGGCUGUGGAAAUAAUGACAGCAAUCAGUGGCUUCAAAAGGAUUCGAGUAACUAUGUAGUUUCUGCACAAGCAAUGUCCUCGGUGUCGACAACAGUUUAUAACCUCGGACCACAAUAUAUAUCGCUAUGUUUUUCGUACACAAUUUUACUUUCAUCAACCUUAUGUUAACUUUUUCUUUAGGGGACUGAUCUGCGCCGGCCCAAACUUUCGGUCGGCCGCGCGCGAGCCGCAGGAUCCGCCAACCCCGCGUCGUCCGCAUUGUUGGAUCCGCAUGCAACAUUUUUUCCCCGUUGUGGCCGUGGAGACCUGGGCUCGAAUCCCAGCAGCCACAGUACUUUUUAAAAAAAUUUAUAUGCAAUGUGGCUGUGGAAAUAAUGACAGCAAUCAGUGGCUUCAAAAGGAUUCGAGUAACUAUGUAGUUUCUGCACAAGCAAUGUCCUCGGUGUCGACAACAGUUUAUAACCUCGGACCACAAUAUAUAUCGCUAUGUUUUUCGUACACAAUUUUACUUUCAUCAACCUUAUGUUAACUUUUUUCUUUAGGGGACUGAUCUGCGCCGGCCCAAACUUUCGGUCGGCCGCGCGCGAGCCGCAGGAUCCGCCAACCCCGCGUCGUCCGCAUUGUUGGAUCCGCAUGCAACAUUUUUCCCCGUUGUGGCCGUGGAGACCUGGGCUCGAAUCCCAGCAGCCACAGUACUUUWAAAAUUAUAUGCAAUGUGGCUGUGGAAAUAAUGACAGCAAUCAGUGGCUUCAAAAGGAUUCGAGUAACUAUGUAGNNNNNNNNNNNNNNNNNNNNNNNNNNNNNNNNNNNNNNNNNNNNNNNNNNNNNNNNNNNNNNNNNNNNNNNNNNNNNNNNNNNNNNNNNNNNNNNNNNNNCGCGAAAAUGGCUUAUGUGGCUAUAUAUGAGUGGAGCUUUCUCCAGAUAUUUGUUUGCUUCAGGCUUCAUUCGCGAGGAGUGGUGAGCGAGCUAGUGGCGACCGAUUGAUGGACAAAAUGAAGUUGACAUGCCUAAAUCACGCCUACCGUGUAUAGUGGAUUGCAAAUUAUGCCCGGGUCAUAUUCAUCUUCUGGUCCAUGAGUUUUGAUUCGACAGAUUGGUUGGCUGCUUCACCACCAUGUACAGGGGCGGGUCCAAAGAAUGGAUAAGCACAAGCGCAAUGAUGCUCCGAUUCUCCACUCAUUUCUGAACAAUUUUUUUGAGGAAAAGAAUCUUCUAAAAUUCAUGAUUUUUUCAUAUUUGUGAUUUUUUGAAAAAUUCUUAACCAUUUAAAAAUUCAUGAAGAUAUUUUGAACUCAUGGACAUUUUAAAAUUCGUAAGUAUUUUUCUAUAUUAGUGAUAUUUUUACGAUUCCUUUCUUAAUUUUCAAGUGUUUUUUUAWUUUACAUUAUCAGAGUGAUGAUUACGUUCAGCUCCUUUGUAGCCCUUACCAAAACGAAAGCUAAACAACACACAUGAGGAGACGUAACACAAAGAGCAUCAUAUUACCGUCGCGACAACCUGUAAAUGGGCACAAACAAACUGAAUGUGCACAAUAGAAGCUUAUAUAGGUGUGCCUACUAGCGAACCCCUUCUCCUCCUUCAAACCUCGGCGCACCAACAACCAANNNNNNNNNNNNNNNNNNNNNNNNNNNNNNNNNNNNNNNNNNNNNNNNNNNNNNNNNNNNNNNNNNNNNNNNNNNNNNNNNNNNNNNNNNNNNNNNNNNNAGUGGUAAAAAUAGAUCAUUAAUUGAGAUAACGGUUUUGGGAGAUAAAUCUUUUUUAAAAUACAAAAUCAAAAUAAUACGUAAUAAUGUCAUGUUGCAUGCAUGCAAAAAUGGAUGGAAGGGAGCCGCCGCAUGGGAAGACUAAUAUGUGGCGCCCCUCCCUAGUGAAGUCAUUGAUUUAAUGUUGGAUGUGCUUUACAGAAAAUAAGAUUCAUGAACACUAGCAUUCAGAACAUAUUUAUAAAAGACACCCGAGUGAGAUACUGAAAAAUUUGCUACCGACGGGGGUCGAACCCCAGUCUGCAAGGCUACUGCCCGGUCCUCACUGGAUGUCUUUUGAAAAGUACCAAUCCGAUUUAGAUUAUUCUAAAUUACUCUGUUUAUAUUGGUGUUUAUUUUGAUCAACAGGAACCCAAAGGGGGAGUGUGGAGGAAAAGGAGAGUGAGGUGAGGCGAAUCUACAAACUACUUCCUCCCUGGAUAACUUGAGCAUACCGGAGGCCUGAGGUACGUAGAAAUAGAUUCGGGCGGAUCAGAUUCAUAAUUGGCACACAUGAAAAACUUCAUGUCCAACCAAUCUGAAAAAUCCGUCACCUCCUUCACCUUGCAGAGAUCCUNNNNNNNNNNNNNNNNNNNNNNNNNNNNNNNNNNNNNNNNNNNNNNNNNNNNNNNNNNNNNNNNNNNNNNNNNNNNNNNNNNNNNNNNNNNNNNNNNNNNAAAGUACUGUGGCUGCUGGGAUUCGAGCCCAGGUCUCCACGGCCACAACGUGGAAUUCUUACCACUAAACUACAGCCACUUUCUGUUCAUUUUAAACAACAUCCUCUCCUUAUUAUGAAGGCAGAUGCACAGAAAACGAGAAUGGCAACGGAUUUAAGGUUGCAAACACGGAACUGCUGGUUAUCACUGGCUAGACGGCUUUUUUUAUAUCGGAAGCUGUCAAAGCCAAGAGUCAUCCCUUAAACUUUGGCUUAUUCAUUUUAUAAGAAAAAUCAAAUCAAAAACCUAAACAAGAAUAUUUACUUUCAUAAAAGGGAGGCACGUUGAUUUGGCCAACGAAACCACCUUGAUUGGACUAAUCAAAAUAAAGAAUCGUAUGGAUUAGGCUUCCAAAAACAAGGACGUGCCUUGAUUUGGUUUCCAAAAAAAAGAUUGUCUUGCUUAGUCUUCAAAAAACAAGAAUAUUUACUCCCAUAGAAGGGAAGUGCGUAGAUUUCACUACCAAAGAAGGAAUCGUCUUGAUUUGGUUAUCAAAAAUAAAGAAUCGCCUUGAUUAGGCUUCCAGAAACAAAGACGCGCCUUGAUUUGGGUUCCAAAAAAGAAGAGGUGCCUGUGACGACACCAGUACCCACAGAACCUCCGAUGACGGCGCCGUCCCACGUGCUCGGUCGAACCGAGGAACCUCCGAUGACGGCGCCGUCCCACGUGCUCCCGAGUUCCUCAACGGAUUGAGUCCCAACGGUCUGCCUCCGCAUGCACUUAAAUUGAAGUAGAAAUGCCCUGCGAUGCUUCUCAGGAACAUUGAUCCGGCUAACAGACUGUGUAACGUGACGAGGCUUGUGGUCCGAGAUUUUGGAAGGAACGCCAUUGAUGCAGAAAUCAUGAUUGGACAACACGCGGGUAGGAGGGUCUUCCUUCCUCGUAUACACCUAUGCCAGUCUAACAACACAUGUUUUCAUGCAAGGUCAAGAGGAAGCAAUUUUUUGUAAGGAUUAGCUUUUCUAUGACGAUUAACAAGGCCCAAUAGCAGACCAUCAUGAUUGUCAACGUGUACCUACCUAAUUCGGCAUUCUCUCAUGGUCAACUCCAUACCUCAUUGUCUCGGGCCAUCGCAAAGAGAAAAAUAAAAAUCCUCAUUGAGAAGAAGAAGGCCAAGGAGAAGGGCAAGAAGCAAAACAAUAAAUCAAAGAAGCAAAAAGGACCUACGGUGUCCUUAUAGACCUCGAUGAAGAACAUCGUCUAUAAGGAAGUCCUUAGAGGCUGAAGUCCCCACUUAAUAAACUUGUGUAGCUUGCAUUGUAUCGCCAUGCGAAACUGUUAUUGGUUGUAGGUACAUUUUAGACUCCUAUUUUAUACCAUAGAGGUGAAUUUCAGUAUUAUAGUGUUUGACAUACCACAUAUUGGCACUAAUUUCAAUAGUACUAUUUCCCGCGGGUGUGAUAAAAUAACUAUCCCAUGUAUUUAUGAAAAGGCAUUAUGUGCGUGAUAUUGGUUGAAUGCUCUUGUAGAUUACCAUUUUUCAAGGUAGAUCUCAUGUACUUUUGUUUGAACUUUCCAUCUACCAAUGAUCUUUAUACUGUAACAUACUAACCUUCAGCUUAUCACCCCAUUUAUAUUUUUUUAAAUGAUUUGUGGACGAAAGCCCAAUGAGUGUAAGAAGAAAAACUAUUUGGAAUUAUGAAUGCGUUCAUGGCUCCAAGCAACAACUGGUUUAUAGGUAUGGUACAUUAUUUAAUUUUGUUACUUUUAGUUCUGAUAUAUGAACUUGAAAUCCAUCACCUGAAUGAUGUUCCAGCAAGAGAGAUAUUUUUUACUUGACACACUUAUCAAGUAAGGGGUAAAUUUGAUUUGGUACAGAAAAGUACAGAAGGUUUAAAUGGUUACAAACUUAUGUUGUGGAAAAUACAAUAACUAAAAUUUUUAGGAAAUUGCAGGGAUGUGUCUGACUAUUUUGUUUUUUAUUUUAUGUUCUGGUGGAACGGUAAAGAACUGGUCGAGCCGGUUGCGCGGUGAGGAUUGUCGGUUACACAUUUUAAGACCUUUCACGUGAAAUAUUCGUGUUAACUACAUAUAUUGCUUGUGCAUAAUGAUUAUGAGUUGAUGAAACACUUUUUAUUAUUCUUGCUAAAACAUCGUGGGAAUGAAGCUAAAGAGAACUUUUCUGACAUUGUGCGAGAAUUUCUUAAGCGCAUCAAAUAGAUCUUAAUAAUUUAUAAUAUAUUUUUUGUUGGAUCAUCGCUUAUUCUUUUUACACAGACACAUCGUUAAUUUGUUUUUUGUUAUCAAUUUACAUUGCUGGUUAGGUGGACUUGAAUUAUUAAGCAAUUGUGUAUGUGUUAUAUUUUCUUUACGUGAUAUUUAACAUGCAUUAUCUUUAUAUAACUCCUGUAAAAUAUUUGAAAAUCCCGUGACAACGCACAUGCAUUCUACUAGUCAUUAUGUGCAUCUUCCUCCCACCUAUUUUGUGUAGGCCCAUUGCAACACAGCCCAGAUGGGCUGGUAGGACGGGAACUCAAGGAAUUUUCUCAAGAAGAUUGCUGAGUUCCACUGUCCGAGAACUCGGCAAUCAUCUGGGCAGUGCGUCCGAUUCAACGUUUCCUAUUUGGCGCCACAUGUGUCGGUUAAUGCGCAUUGUUUUUAAUUCACGGUUGUGGCAUUCGUAAGUGGACUGGCUCAUCUAGGUGUCGGUUGACGAUUUUUUUUGAAAAUUUUGUGAACUUUUAUAAAAAUCGAUGAACUUUUUUUGAAUUUCAAUAAAUAUUCUUUAAGAUUGAUGUACUUUUCGCUGAAAAUCGAUGAACCUUUUCUGAAAUAAUAAAAUUCUAUGAACAUUUUUGAAUAUCGAUAAACUUUUUUGAAAUUUGAUGAACAUAUUUUGGAAAAUGGAUGAAUUUUUGUCAAAAUUGAUGAACUUUCUUAAGAUUUAUGAUUGUUUUUUCAGUACAAUGAACUUUUUUGAAAAAUACCUGAAUUGUUUAAGAAAGUAUGAUUUUUUUUCAAAUUUAAUGAAAAUAUAAAAAAAAUUAAUGAACUUUUUCCAUAUUAGAUGAAUUUUAUUUUCAAUUUUAUUGAUUUUGUUUUCAAAUUGAUGAACUUUUUUCAAAAUUGAUGAACGUUUUUUAAAGAUAUGAACUUUUUUUCAAAUGAAUGAACCUUUUUCUUUAA
This 56094-nucleotide long non-coding RNA is filed under the name Hordeum vulgare. RNAcentral describes it as "long non-coding RNA (HVUL_LNC006370)". Lineage: Eukaryota; Viridiplantae; Streptophyta; Magnoliopsida; Poales; Poaceae. The record is from RNAcentral.